RNAcentral lists this long non-coding RNA (49186 nucleotides) under Chlamydomonas reinhardtii. RNAcentral describes it as "long non-coding RNA (CREI_LNC000428)". Lineage: Eukaryota; Viridiplantae; Chlorophyta; Chlorophyceae; Chlamydomonadales; Chlamydomonadaceae. The record is from RNAcentral.
ACAACUCCACCUGCUGCCCCCCCAUCGUUACGCGCACUCCUACGCCUGCUGCCUACUUCGCUUCACUUCUCUGUACCAAUCUGUGCAACCCCCCUCACACACACACACACACACACACACACACACACACACACACACACACACACACACACACACACACACACACACUCACACACUCCCGCCCCCCAGGUCAACUGCAACAAGUCCAACAAGGAGCUGGGCAUGCAGCUGGCCAUCAAGGUGGCGCCCACCUUCCACGUGAGGGGGGGAUGGAGGGUGGUGGGGGGGGAGGGGCAGUUCGUUCCAAUUUCGAGGUUUGGGGGGAGGGAGAGGAGGGGCAGGAGGGAGAGGAGAAGGAGGAGGAGAGGAGGGGAGGAGGGAGGAGAGGGAGGAGAGGCAGGCAGGCAGCAGAACCUGCACAACUGAACCUCCGCCUCCUGUCUCACCCCUGUCCUGUUUCAUGUUGGGGAUGGUGAGAAGAGUUUUCUUCCUGGGGCAUUCCCUCACAUUGCACCCUCCAUCCGCCACCCCCAGCUCUACCGCAACAAGACCAAGGUGGCCGACAUGACCGGCGCCAAGAUGGAUAAGCUCAUCGCGCUCAUCAACCAGCACCAGCCGCCCAAGAACUGAUUGAGCCACACCCACAAUUACGACUCGUGAACUCUUUUGCGGAUGGCUUUUAGUUGUGACAAUAUGCGAUAUGCAGGGGCGGUUGAGCUGAGCUGAGGGGACGUUGAGCUGUAUGUGUGUUUGUGUGGCGGCGGCCCUGAGGGCCGCGCCACUAAGACUGGAGAAGAAGAAGCUGUUGACUGCAAAUUGCGGGCCCCGUGGCUGUGCCUGGCGCGUUGAGGAGGGGGGUCGGUCCAGACCUGGAAAUUGGGUGUGGCGGCGAGACUGGGCUGCAGAGUGCGGCGUGGUGAGGUGACUUGGGGAAGCGGAGGGGAGGCGACGGUGGAUGCGUGCCGCCGGUGGAGGCGAGGGCGGGGUUGCCCGUUUUGCAUUUGCCCCCGCCCCACCCACACGCCGCUCCUACCCCCACCCCUUGGCUUAAUAACGUGAUAUUCAAUGCAUGAUGCCGUACCGAUGGGGCGUGCGCGCUGUCCGUGUGCACGGCGUUCACACGUCUCGGGAUCUUGAUGUGCUACGACGGGAAGUAAACGACGCAGUGAAUACAGUUAUGAUGUGCAUGGAUUUGUUGUUGGCGGCGGCGGCAGGCGGGCGGGCAGGGCUCCGGAGGAGGGGCCGCGACUAUGCGGCGCAGGGCGUUUUCGCAGAUCUGUCCGGCUGAGAGAUGUGGUGGACGCUUGCGGCCUCAGACUAGAUACGUGGCUCAGCCCACUUGUCCCAUGAUAGGGGAACCACAUCUCUAGUCGCAGAUCUAGGGGCUGGGGGCUGCCAUGCACCCGUGGCGGUAGCCCUUGGCGGUAGCCCAAGGUGAUUGACACGGACACGUGUGCAACCGUCCCACUCCCAAUAAAGCAGGCAGCCGGCAUCGCUGCCUGUCGCUGCCGGUGCCUCGAAUUGGCUGUUGAUAUAUGGGUGCGUCUUCACUCGCCAGCCCGCCGCCCUCCCAAGAUUCGUGUGAUUUGGUUUCAUGACUCAAAUGCGCGGCGCAAGUGGCCGGGUCAGGCCUACGCACCCAGCAGCAGGCUGGCAGUGAGUGCCAGCAGCCAGCCCUCGUGAAGCACCAAAACACUCGAGCCAUGAUUCCAUCAAGCCAGGCUCGAGCCGCUGAUUAUGACAUUAUGUGGCGCGGAUCCAGGGGCCGGACGCCAUGUUUUCUAGCCGCUAGAAGCCGGGGUAGCCAGCAAGGUUCACACUGUACUCCUGCGCCCUCCCUCCCCAGGUGUGUGCGAAGUGCGGGCGGCGCUUACUCGGCGACGGGCAGCGCUGCCUGCAGGCGGUCGUACCAUGGGGGGGCUCACGUGCUCACGGGAAAGGCCACGUGGAGGAGGAAAGCGCAGCGCCGCCCAAUAAGCGGCACAAGCGCGCAGGCUGAGGAGCCGGCUGGCGGUGUCUAGGUAGCGGUCCGCGGUGGGGCUGGCAGGGCAUGCGCAGCGUCAUGACAAGCAGUGCGGCUGGUGACAACUGUGCUGUGUCUGGCUGCGGUUGGCUCUGCUGUGGCAUCGCGAUUGCUAUUUAGGCACCUGGUUUGGCUAUGUGCCUGUGCAAACCGACCCCGGCUAUGUCCGGGCGAUGAGGUUGUUCGGCCUCAGACUGUGGAGGGGCUCAGCCCCUUUUCCCGUGACCGGGGAACACUUGUCUAGCCGCUGUUACACCUUUCCUGCUAACUGCCCGCUGCACUGGACUGCGCGAUCGCGGGGGCUCCAUGUCCCACAAUGUCUCAGGACAGCGCUCCGUAAGCCCUCCGAACACGCACGUCCAGCCUCCAUUAAACGCACACAAUGAAACACACAGUGUCACUCCACUGCACCGCAUGCACCGCACGCAAGGCGCCACCAGCGUUGCCCCGACCACGCCCCGCCGCCAGGGGGCGCCUGGGAGGGGGUAACGGCAUGUUGGGGGCAACUGUGUGUGGGCUGGCGCCAACACCCUCGCGCCCGCCUCACUUUACCAAACAUGGGAACCUAUGUGAUCUUGAAAGCCAAAGGACACAAAAUUCAGCGCGGGUGCAGCAGACGCUCACGCGUAUUGGCCUACAGCCCUACGUAAGAAUGAGCUUUGCACUCGGCGAUGACAGCUCACAACAUGAUCAGUACGGUACAGCGGCUAAUGCGAGGAACGCAGCCGUCCUGAUCCCCCCACACGCCUUGUAUGUUCCGAGCUGGAACGGGAUACGACCUAAUAAAUGUAUUAUAUCUACCGCCAAAAAAACCUUGACCAAAAAGCACGCAUCACGCGUGAGAUUUAUAUGUGUACGUGCCUGCUUCCGCACGCACAUCCGGCCCGCAAGUCCACUCUUGACCGUGCAUAGGUUGGCCUCUUCAACAUUCACGGCACUCUCUGCUCGAGAACACUCAUGGUUGUCCUGCGUCCGGCGCCUGUGUGGCUCCGCCCCGACAGGCCCUGUAUUCCAUUCGCUCCUCUCCGCUCGUCACCGCAUCAGUGUGUCGACAUCACGAUCUUAACAAUGCACCUCUCUGACCUGCAGCCAGGAAUCCUUGACCCCAGUACUCACGGCAACGGACCGCGAGACCCCGUGCAUUCCACUUCAGUACAAGCCGGCGUGAUGUAAGGUAAGUGGACAAGAGUAGCGCGGACUUGGCCACCCGCAUGUGUGCACACUCCGUAGCGACCCGCCAUGGACCUCGUGCAACCCCACCCGUACAUGUCUGGGCUCCCCACUGUCACGCUCUCCGCCCCCCAACACGCCGCUUUCGCCACAACCCCGCAAUGCACCAACGGCACUGGCCAGGGCACAUCCACGCGGCCGCGCCUCGUCAGCGCCUCAGUCACCCCCCAACAUGCAGGCACCGACCGCAAACGCACUUCACCACCGGCGUCCCUUGCCAGUCUGCUCUCAACAACGAAUCCAAGUGCAUCCGACGUCUUAGCAAAGCAAGGCACUCACGCACAGGCGGUGCCUACCGUCUGCAAUCGUCACCGGCCUAGCAUGGUGACCUGUCAGGUCAUGCGGUGACACGGCAUGCCGUACGCAUGUAUGACUCAUGCAACAACCCAGGCGACCCCUGCAUGACAAGCCCAAGCCACGAGGCUGAGCGGCAACCGCAACGCGCCGGCACGCGUGCUCCACACCUGCAUCCGGCAUCGCCCUCAGUCCAACCCCGCCGCUACACCAGCACCACCAGCGCCAUUGCACCCACACCCGGUCUUCAGUGCUCUCCAGUGCCGUCGCGCUCAACCCAUCGCAGCCGCCGCAAGGAACGCACCAGCAACGCCCGGCCACGUAGCUCACCACCGUGUGGCCACCCCCACCCGCCUCGUCCGGUCUGCACUCUUGUGUCGGGGCACACAGCCGUCCCGCACCGUCAACACUCGCACCAGCACAUUUCAUACUAAUGGAUCUUGUGUCUUCUCUGUCCUUUGCGCAUGCGUCACUGCCCUCCACGCCCAUGCCGAGACCUCCCGCCGCACAUAUCCUGGCGCCGCACAGCCCCGCGACACGUGUCGUGCAGGCCUCCCGCCUCCCGCCCGCUCUCGCCCAACUGCAACUGAGGCGGACGAUGCCCGAGCCCCUCCCUCCCAACCCAACCCGAGCCAAGCCAAGCCACCAGGCAGGCCCAGCCGCAGCCGCAGCCACAGCCGCAGCCACAGCCGCAGCCACAGCCCCAGCGCGGGAUGCCGCAGCGGUCCCGACUGCCCAUCUGCUGCAGCGGUCCCGACUGCCCACCUGCUGCAGGGGUGCCGACUGCCCACCUGCUGCAGGGAUGCCGAUUGCCCACCUGCUGCAGGGGUGCCGACUGCCCACCUGCUGCAGGGGCGGGUGCAUCGCAGGGCUCCGGAGCUCCGCACGUUACAAGACCACCUCCAGGCCAGGUGGUCGAAUGGUUGGUUGGUUGGUUGGGUUUUCGGUUGGUCGGGCUAGUUUUUCAGCAGGAAGUUGAAGAAGUCGUCGUCGUUCAUCGCCAUCUUGGCCGCGUCGCCAGCCAGCGGGUCCACGCCUCCCACCGGCACCACGUGACCCAGGUGGUGCUGGUGGUGGUGGUGCUGGUGGUGGUGCGAGUGCAAGCCGCCCGCGCCCGCGGGGCCGCUGGGCACCUGCCCCGCGCCCAGGCCCAGGCCCACGCCGCCGCCGGGCACGCCGCCGGGCACGCCGCCGCCGCCGGGUGUGCCGUACAUGACGUCGCUGAACACCGCCCCCAGGUCCGCCGGGUCGUCCAUGAGGAUGGCGGGCUCCAGCCCGUGCGCUGCCGCCGGCACGCCGCACCCCACGCCCCCCGCUAUCCCCACGCCCGCGCCGCCGCCUAUCCCCUGGUGCCCCUGGUGGCCGUGGUGGUGCGCCCCCGCGGCGCCCCCGCCCGCCCCCGCCAUCCCCACGUCCGCCCCGCCCGGCACCGGCACCGGCGGGAAGUCCAGCAGCGCCAUUCCCAUGAGGUCGGCUGGCAGGUCCAGCGAGCCGCGCCCCGCGGCGCCGCUGCUGCGGCCCGUGCCGCCGGUGCCCAGCGACCCGGCCAGCUGCAGCUGCGGGUGGUGCGGGUGCUGCUGCAGCCCAUCCAGCAGCCCGCCCACGCCGCUGCCCAGGCCGCUGCCGUCGGGGCCGGAGGAGAGGCCGCUGGCGGACAACAGGCCGGCGGGCGGCUGCGGCGGCGACAGGCCCAGAGCGCCCGCAGGCGCGGUGUUGAGGUGCUGGUGCGGGUGGGCGUGGGCGUGGAGGCCGUGCUGGUGCGGGUGGUGCGCCUGCGGGUGCGUGUGCAGUUGCCCGUUGGGCGUCGCGUUGUGUGGCCCCGGUGGUGACACAGCCAUGCCCUGUUGCUGCUGCUGCUGGAGCGCCUGUUGCUGUUGUUGCUGCUGCUGCUGUUGUUGUUGUUGUUGUUGGGAGGCCAGGAGGCCCGCCGCCGCCUGUUGCAUCAUCGCGUGCUGCUGCUCCUGCUGCUGCUGCUGUUGCUGCGCCGCCGCCGCCGCCGCCGCCUGGAACAUGUUUUGCGGCCCGCCCAUGCCUGUGUGUUAAAGAGCACAAGGAAAACGUUGCGCAAAGACAGUGUAUGCGAUGCAUGCCUGUGUGUGUACGCGCGAUACGGGUGCACGAUCGGUGAACGUCCGGAUGUCAGCACCGCUGCACACACAGGCAGCGGGGGGUCCCAGGUCGGGCGGCGGCCCGCCCUCCGCACACCCCUGCACCAAGACCCCAGCCCACGUCCCCACCUCCAAACGCAGUAAAACCCCAUCCCCUCCACCCGUCCCGCCACCCGCCAAUGCCCCAACCCCCCCGCCCCCCCAAAGCGUCGUCCCUCACACCUGGCAGCCCGCCCAUCAUGGCUCCGUUGAGGCCGUUCAUGCCCGCCAGUGCGCCCAUGGGUCCGUUCAUGCCGCCCAUGUGGCCGCCCAUGUGACCGCCCAUGCCGUUCAUCUGGUUGGCGGCAGCCAUGCCCGCAGCCAUGCCUGCAGCAUUGACCGAACGGGAGGGGGAGGAAUGAGACACAUGGACUCUCAUGUUGGGCAGCCACGACAUGACGCAUGACGGACGGCGCUCGCGCAGCCCCUGGGUUGCGGCGGCCUCGCCUGGCAUCCAUCCGCCUGGCCACGCUGCGCUGCACCCCCUGCUCCAUAUAACCCCGUCCCCAUGGCCCCGCCCUGCCCCUGCCCUCUCGCCCGCCUGCCCCACCCACCCACCCGCCCACUCCCCAGCCGCCCCGCCCUGCCCCGCCCCCCCACCCACCCACUCCCCAGCCGCCCCGCCCUGCCCCGCCCCCCCCCCGUCCACUCCCCAGCCGCCCCGCCCUGCCCCGCCCUCCCCGUCCACUCACUCCUCGCACCCACUAGCCCCCCGCCCUCAGGCCCCCCCCCGCCCCCCCCGCCCCCCCCCCGCCCCCUCAGCCCCCCCCGCCCGCCCCCUCAGCUCCCCCUCCUCACCCUGCAUCAGGUUGGCCAUGGGGUUCAUGCCGGGCAGCCCAGGCAGCCCGCCCAUGCCUGGCAGCCCCAGCGGCCCCAGCGGGCCCAUGCCCGGCUGCAGGCCGCCCAUGCCUGCGGGGGAGGUGAGGCCGGGGGGGUGGGGUGGGGCAGCGGGGUGGGGCCAGCGGGGGCGUGGGGUUAGUGCCACAUGUUGGGACGAUGGGUGCACGGAAAGCCCGGCAGGAGGCUGUCGUACCACACAUACACACACGGCGCAUGGUUGGCCCCGAACGCCCCGUGCCGCCAAAUCAGCUCAUCGCUCCGAUGUCCUGCCCAAACCUUCCCGCGCCCCCCCUCUCUCUCUCUCUCUCUCUAGGCACCUUCCUAAGGCGCGGCCCUCCCCCAAUACACACAUACUGCCACUCACCCAGCGGCGGCGGCUGCAUGCCCGGCAGCCCUGGCAGCCCGCCCAGCGGCCCCAGCGGCCCCACCGGGCCCAGCGGCGACAUGCCGCCCACGCCCACCCCCAGGCUUCCCAUGGCGUUGAGCAGCGACUGGUUCAAGCCCGCCACCGCCGCCGCCAUGGGGUUGGCCAGCAGCGCCGCCGGGUGCGGCGGCGGCGGCGGCGAGGGGCCGCCAAAGCCGCCCGGCCCUGGCCCCGGCCCCGCGCCUGGCGGCAGGGGUAAGCCGCCCAGGCCGCCCGGCACCGCUGCGCCCGGGCCUGGGCCCGCGGCGGCGGCUGCGCCGUCCGGGCCUGACCCCAGCCCGCCCGCCCCCGUCCCGCCCACACCCCCGCCCGCGCCCGGUGCUGCCCCAGGAGUGCCUGCGCCGGUCGUCGCUGCGUGCCCGUUGGCUGCCGCUGCGCCGCCGCCUGUCCCUGCCGCCGCUGCGCCCGCCCCAGCCGCUGUGCCGCUGCCCGGCUGCGGCGGCGGCGGUAUCGCCGUCGCCUGGUUGGCUGGGUGCGUGCCCGCCUGCCCCGGCAGCGCGGGCGGCGGCGGCGUGGUGUGGGGCGAGGGCUUGUUGGACUUGUGCGCGGCGUUGUGGUGGUGGCCGCUGGGCGUCACACCCGACACACGCUUGAGGUACAGCCGGUACCUGCAGCGUUUGCGGUUGCAGAUGUGUGCGUGUUGAGCAGGCGUGUGUGUGUGUGUUGAGCACCACGGGCGGCUGAUCGCUUACACGGUACCGCACACGUCGCGCCCGCUGGUGUCAGCCAGCCGCCCAGCCGACCCUACGCCUCCCAUUUCUAUUCUUCACAGAAAUGAUAAAGAAUACCCACACCCACUGUUCCCACAGGACAUCGGCAUGCAUACGUAUGCAUACUUAUCGCCCCGCAAUAACGGCGUUGACCCCCUGGCCCCCUGCCUCCCUCAGCGCCCUCUCUUCCCAGCCCCCUUCGCUCCCUCAGCCCCUCCCUCCCUCAGCCCCUCCCUCCCUCGGCCCCCUCUCUCCCCAGCCCCCCCGCCCCCUCNNNNNNNNNNNNNNNNNNNNNNNNNNNNNNNNNNNNNNNNNNNNNNNNNNNNNNNNNNNNNNNNNNNNNNNNNNNNNNNNNNNNNNNNNNNNNNNNNNNNGCGCGUCAGGCCGUCCACACCCAUGAUCUCCAGGAUCUUCUUGGGAACAGCCUCUGUCAAAGGCGGGCGGGAGGCGUGCAGGUGUCCAGGUGUCCAGGUGCGAGGCAGACACAGCAGCGGACCAACAGAGAGGCGACAAGGCCCGGGGCCCCGGGGGCCGGGGCCCCGCCGGUCAUGCGGUGCCGCAGCCUGGUGUGGCGAGUGUCGGCAGGAGCCUGGCGACGAAGUCUCCUUCUCCUUACCCGCCACCGCUCUCACCCCCACACACAUGGCCCCAUCCCAUGGCCCCAUCCCACAGGCCCCGCCGCAGGUCCCCGCCGGCCCCACCGGCUCCCACAGGGCACUCACUGUCGAUGCCUAGCUGGUUGACCGCGUUCACGAACUGCUGGUGCAUUUCCACGCUCCACACCACCCGCGCCUUCUUAUUGGAGCCGUUCUCGCCGCCGCUCAUCAUCAGCAUCUCAUCAGUCAUGCCGCCCGCCCCGCCGCCGCUGCCCGGCCCGGCUGCGCCGCCGCUGCCGCUGCCGUUGAGUCGACACUGCGGGGUGGUGCAAAAAGGACGCAGGGGUACGACAGGGCGCGAGAGGCUGCCAAGGACAAGCAGCGGCGCCUUGCCCACACGCCCACGCCCGCGUUCACGCUGCACAUGCCCUUGAUUCAGUUUGCUGGGUUGGGCCCGGUUUACACGCCGUACACAAGCUCCCCCCCCCAACGGGCCCACACGCCGCUCCCGCUGCUCCACACACACCCCACCGCUGCAAGCACACGCCGUCACACGCACCUGGUCUCCCGUCACGCCCGCCGCAUCCGCCUUGCGCUUGUUGCGCGUCUGGUCCUCGUCCCGCUCCUGGCUCUGCUCGUCACUGUCAAUCUCCUGGGCGUGCUGUAGUUUCAAACGUCAUGCAGGUGUACAGGUUAGCAAUUUGAAAUGCGUGCUUGAAGACGGCAAUGGUUUGCAAGGCGCGGCGGGGUGCAGCGUUCGCUGGGGUGUGGGAGGGUGCACCCUCCGCCCGACGGACAACGACCUACCUGGCGACGCCUGCGGACGACGUGCUGCCAGAGGUUUCGCAGCUCCUCCAGCCGCACGGGCUUAAUGAGAUAGUCGCACGCGCCGUGCGUCACUCCGCGCAGCACGUUGCUGGUAUCGCCGUUCGAGGACAUCACUGCGAGCGAGCGAAGGACAGCCCGUCAGCGGACACCGCAGCGCAGCGCGCGAGCUGCAAGCUGCUACUUACUGAUGACAGGAAGGUCCAUUUCCAAGCCCACCAGCUCCAACAAGCGGAACCCGUCCAUAUCUGUUUGCGGGUGCGGUGCAGCAAGGAAAGGCGACUUCAGUCCUGCCCGGACAGCGCUCGCACCGCUUGCCCCGCCAGCGCUUCGCGCUCAUAUAUGGCUUACAAAGCGGCGCCCGAGACUGUGCCAAGCGUUGCGGCAGCGUAGGAACCCCGGCGCGCGAUUCCCCGGGCUCGCCGACCCGGGCGACAACGCGUUUGCCCACCUGGCAUGUAGACGUCUGAGAGGACCAGGUCAUAUUCUGUAUUCUUGUCUCGCAGAAUGUUCAAGGCCGUUGUGGCGUUGGAGCAGACGGUAACUGUUUGGCAAGAGGUCGCAGCAAGCUUAAUAGAACUCGCACACCCAACAUCCCAGCGCGCUCAUAAGGACAAGACGCGGCGCAGCGCGGUGACACCAACCUUCGUAGCUGCAUUUCCGAAGCAUCUGCUCCACGACCUUCAGGCAAAGCGGGUCAUCGUCCACAACCAGCAGGCGCAGGCCUGCUGGGAAGCCCUGCCAGUGUCCACCGGUGUGUCCUGGGUGCUCCUCGAGUUUCACGCCUUGGGAGUCCAUGGCUCAGAAUUGUCUCUACAGAACGCUACUCGGGGCUCUCAAGGCAUGCCGAGCGGCAUGCCCGUGCAUAUUGUCAAUUUACGUCCAAAGCAGCGGCCAUUUGCCCAGCGCGGCCGCGCUCGCGUUUGGUCGCCGACCGUGGGAAUGCCGCUGAGUGUGAGUGCCCGGGUUUUCCUACUGGUCCUUAAACACCUAAUAUAUCAGAUGUGUGUAUAAGAUAGCUUGAAAGCGAGCGAGCUUAGCGCAACACCGAGGAACCGUUGUUCGCUUGCAUGGGCGGGGUGUGCCGCCACACUGGUGCCAGAUGGGCCGAGCCGCUCGCGCUUUCCCCGUGCGCGGCAGCGGCAGCCCGCCGGCCACCCUAACAAAGACAAAUCAGACUCAGUGGUUAUGCUCUGACGGCAGCAGGAUGCCAGGACUGUGGCUGCACAGCGCCACAGCUGAUAACGCUUUGCCCGAGAGUGCCGCAUAUCCGCUUAGCCCAGGUCAAACUGUACGAUUCAUGACACGUGGGGACACGUGCACGUGGUUUUGCCGUAGAGCCAGACAUAACGGAACGCCAGGCCAUAGUAGACUUUCCACUCUAGGGAACAGGGCGGCAAACAAGACACCUGCAAGUAUUACCCCUGAAAAGUCCAGCUCCCACGAAGUGAAUUCCCUGCCCCACGAACACGACAGGUGCAGACGUGGGCUGAGCCCACAUAACAAUUAGCGCCUGAGGCCGAAGGACGGCCGAAAUAGCCUCACCUCCCGGACAAAGCUGGGGUCAGUUUGUAAAGCUUUACAGACACCGCCAGCCAGGCACAGCGCCAGACACAGGCUCACAGCACAGCACACCCGAAACACGGCGUAUCAGUGUAGGGGCUGCUCCCACAACACAGCCCUGGCUCCACAACACACGCACACACCUAAGCCGCAUGGCACGUGCCCCAUGCCCCUGUGCGGCCUGGGCCCUCAGUGCCCUCCAUAGCAACCGCCAGCUACCCCGGGGGUGUGUCACCUACCUCCCUGACAACAGUUGCGCCAGCCACCACUCGCCUCCACGUUCAGCACCCGCAACACCGGCCGCCACUCUGUCACUCAUACCUCGGUCCGGUACGCGAACCGCGGCCGCGGCGCCCCACCUGCUCCUCCGCUGCCCCCCAGCAGGCCGCGGCGGCUCAUGAGCGGCGCCACUAUGCGCGCAAACGGCGCCGGCCGCUCCGCCGCCUGGUUCAGCACCACCUGCGUGUGUGUGAGCGUGUGUGGGAUUGGGGUGUGAGAGAAUGUAGUGGAUGGCUGGGCGGUAUCCUUGUAAGUAUCGCAGCGAAUGCUGGAAGUGGACCUGCGCAUGUGCAUGUGCAUUCAUGCACAUGUGUGCACAUGCACAUGCAUGUGCAUGGGGACGUGCCGCCGCUCCUACCCGGAUGUGGCUGCGGUGGAACGUCUUGGAGCCGGGGCGGCCCUUCGAGUGGUAGCUGAUGCCGGGCUCGUAGGCGCCGCGCGUCACAAACACAGUGCCUGCAGCAGGCAACAGGCAGCAGGCAGCAGGGUCGCGGAGCGGCAUCAGCAGCACGUGCCGCAGGCAGCCAGGCGCCGACAGAGGCACGGGCGCGAGGAAGCCAAGAGGGGGUUGCACCACUGCGGCUGCAGCCGAUGCAGCCAACACGGCUGCUGCAGCCACACGCAUCCAUUGCCUUUCACUCCCAGUGGCGCCGGCCGGACCAGGCGGCGCCACAUCAGCCCCGCAGGCACCACCCUGUCCCUGUCCAGUGUCAGCCGGACGCCCUGACCAGUCGGCCCACUCACCCACGACCAGGCGCUCGGCGUCCAGCCCCUUGACCUCUGUGGCGUCCGCGUGCGCCGCCUCCAGAGCCUGUGCAACGUCAGGAUGGGCGCAGGUGCAUGUUUGUGUGGUGUUAGGGGAGCCAUACGCGCAUGUGUGUGUGUGUGUUUGUGUGUGUGGGCGUACAUAUGUAUGUGACUGUGGCGGCUGCUGCCCCAAUCGUAUGUCUGCAGCUGCUCCCCUUUAACACCACCACCACCACCACCACCACCACCACCACCAUCACCACCAAGACAACGCUGGUGCCACUACAGCCACGGCCGCUGCCGCCACUGCCGCUGCCGCCACUGCCAAUUCCGUUACAGCCACUGCCGCUAUCGCUACUGCCGCUACAGCCACUGCCGCUGCUGCCCACCCACCUGCAGCAUGUAGCGCGCGGCCUUGUGUGGCACCAGGCUGCACUGGGCCACAGCGUCCGGGUAGGGCAGGCCGCGGACCUGACGGGGGAGGAGGAGCAGGCGGGCGGGGAGGAGGAGCGGGCGGGCGGGUGGUGGGUUGGGGAGUGGGAGAGGGGAGGGGUGUCCUGAGAGCACAAGGGAUGAGGCACACCAAGACCGUGUAUGCGAUGCGGUGCGGUGCGGUGACGUGUUUGUGUGUUUGUGUGUGUGUGUGUUUGUGUGUGUGUGUGUGUGUGUUUGUGUGUGUGUUAUUAUGGGAAUGAGUGCGCCCGCAAAUGCGUCGUGCGUUUGGGGGGGGGGGCGCAGGGUACAGGUAGCGAGGGGCGCUGGGGGUGGCUGCAAGGGCGUGGCGCGUUGCGGCGCGAGUGGACGCCAGCUGACCAACCGCCUGCCUGCUGCCUAGGAAACCUCCACCACUUCCCUCCGUUUGCAGUGAGACAGCAACACAGUGUUGCCACGCACCCGCCGCACCCGCCGCACCUGAUCCCCGCCACCCAGCUCGGCGCCAACAGGGCACUCCACUACUCCAGUCCACCGCCCCUGGCCCUCACUACCCAGUCCCUGACCUCUCUGUCCCUGCCGCCAUCUCUCCCUUUUUUCUUCCCUGUGUCUUACCAGCUUGACAAUGCGCUGCAUCUUCUUCAUGCUCUGCGGCACGUCCAUCAAGUGCGCGGCGCCCACCUCCUCGCCGCCGCCCGGCCCCAUGGCCCAGGCGAGGCGCUGCCGCUCCUUGCGCCGCUCCUCGCGCUCGUCGUCCGCGUCAUACCUGUGCGGCGCCGUGAGGGACAGCGCGAAGCAGCGGGUGGCAGCGCGGUGUGCGGGCAGUGCGGCAUGCGGGCAGUGCGGUGUGCGGGCAGUGCGGUGUGCGGGCAGCGCGGCAUGCGGGCAGCGCGGUGUGCGGGCAGUGCGGCAUGCGGGCAGUGCGGCAUGCGGGCAGUGCGGUGUGCGGGCAGUGCGGUGUGCGGGCAGCGCGGCAUGCGGGCAGUGCGGUGUGCGGGCAGUGCGGCAUGCGGGCAGUGCGGUGUGCGGGCAGUGCGGUGUGCGGGCAGCGCGGCAUGCGGGCAGUGCGGUGUGCGGGCAGUGCGGUGUGCGGGCAGCGCGGCAUGCGGGCAGCGCGGUGUGCGGGCAGUGCGGUGUGCGGGCAGUGCGGCAUGCGGGCAGUGCGGUAUGCGGGCAGCGCGGUGUGCGGGCAGUGCGGCAUGCGGGCAGUGCGGCGUGCGGGCAGUGCGGUGUGCGGGCAGUGCGGCAUGCGGCUUGAUGUGGGCAGGGAUGCGACCGCACGAAGGCGGGUCGGACCCAGUGGCCCGGUGGUGCGACGCGGGUCACGGCGCCCCGCACGUGCACGGGCGGGCUGGGCUCCCAGUCACAGGGCGCGCUCAAUGGACAAGACGAGAACCUGAAUCUGGAUCUGGUUCCGGUGGCUCUCGAAGCCGUGCAGCCUUGCAGCCAUGUGGCAGCCACAACCCGGUAACACCAGCGGCUCUUCCAGGCUAAUGACCACUAUGCCGAAAGUGCAUGGAAUUCAACAGUGCCGUCGCUACCGCGUGCCGGCCCGCAGCGCCGAGUCCCGUCACCACAUCGUCCGUCCCCUCUCACCAGCCGGGCAUCUGCCAUGCCGGUACCUCCUGUCCCCUCCCCAGGACCCACACUCCCACAGCCUCCGCCUCCCUGCACCCUGUGUGUGUGUGUGUGUGUGUGUGUGUGUGUGUGUGCCCGCACCCACCACAUCCAGUUGCGCGGCUGCCUCCGGCCGCGCCCCGCCGCCGCCUGCGCCGCCUGCGCCAGCCCGCCUGCUGCCGACGCCGACCCUGACGCCACUGGGCCUGACGCCGCCGACGCCAGCGCAGCUGCCAGCGGGUUGGUCACAGUCUGCUCUUGGGGCUUAGCCGCGCCCUCCGACUCCUUGCCGCCGCUCCCCGAGGCGCUGCCACCGGGCACGUCGGCCGCCUGCUGCGCAGCGCUCCCGGCGUGUAGCUGCCUCGCGCCGUGCCAGCCGCUAACGGAGGCGUGCGGGGCCCAUGUGCUCAACCCGAGCCGAGAGAAAGCUGCGCUAGGUCGUUGCAAUGCAAGAAACGGGGCCACGCGGCUAGUUUGGGCUGUCGCGGGAGAAGCGGGAGUCGCGGAUGGCUGGACUUCGCGACCGCUGCUUGACGAGCACGAGCAUUCUGAUCUGCCGUAGCUGGUGGAUGCGUAGAUCACCGAGCUGAGCGUCGAAAGCGCCUGGCUAAGCGCAGCAGGCGCAUCGCCAAGCUGCACUCUUGCAAUCAACGCCCUGCUGCUCGCUAACAAAGCCAACCGAUGCGUCUCGGCACCAGACAUCCUGAAGUUUUGAUAGUCUAUCAAUCAAGGAGGAUUUCGACGUCAGGGUGCACAAGCGUCUUUGUUAGUACUCGCGCGAUUAGGCAGACAGUGCGAUGGUGAGCGACUUCAGAAACAUUCCAUAGCCUCCUUUGCGAUUUCACUUUUGGUAAGCGAUCGAGGGCGGACCGACCCCAAUCGUGAGCCCAAUUCAUGGUCCGCUUCAAACAGCGUGAACCUGUUUGCGCUUUCGUGGGAUUUGCAACGCAUAAGUUUUAAUUCUGCCUAGCCACCGCCCUUUACCUGUUAUAGCACUCGGGCUAGGACUAGGAGUCGAGGCGUCGCUGCUGCCAUCCUCGAAACCGCUUUCAGUAUUGCUUGCUCGGCGCCAUCUGUCACACGUUGCUCGAGCUUACACCGUCGAUACACGCCCAACUCAACAGCCGCGGGGUCGCGCACGCGGAGGCCCCUGAGGUGCCGGUAUGGCGGCCGCUGGCGCGGGGACGUCGGGCAGUGGCGCCGGCGGGGCUGCUGCUGCUGCGCUGGAGCUGCCUGAGGACGUGCAGGCCCAGCUGUCCACCUUCCGCCAGCUGCUGGGCGACCUGAAGGCCGCGCUGGGCGCCGCUGCGGGGGCUGUGCCGGGCGGCGGCGCGGAGCUUGCGGGGGCGGUGCCCGACUCGCUGGAGCGGGCGCGGCUGUGCCUGGCGCUGGCCAAGUCGGUGAAUGCGCUGCACCACGUCUACGUCAGGUGGGUGCAAUUCAAGGGGAUAGGUGGGAGGAUGGGAGGUGGAGAAGGCGCGCACAUCGCCGAUGCAGCGGCUGGAUCCAUGCACUACACAAUGGUCUGCGGCCACGGGGCUGCGGCUGUCAUACCCGUGCCUACCCCGCCCAGCGGCUGCGCCGCGAACCUCAGGAGGGGACACAUAGUGAAACCCAUCACCAGCCACGGCGAUGCACACGGGCUGCCCGCGUGCCGGCCUUCCCGCCUUCCUCACCCAUGAGCCACGCCACGCCAUGCCGGGCGCAGGGCACACGGCCGCGACCCCUUCACGCCCGCCACUGCCGGCGGCGUGGCCGUGGGUCGGCAGGAGCUGGACCGCAUCCGGCAGUACGACAAGAAGGUGCGUGGCCGUGAGGCGGGGGAGGGGUGACUGGGUGUCUUGCGGCUUGGGGACGUGGGCACGUGUUCAGAACUCGCCCUACUCGCCUCCCGGCACCGCUGCCGCCGCCGCUGCCGUCACCGCUGCCUACCAAAGCCGCAUUGCCCCCUCCUUCCCCUCCUUCCCCUCCUUCCCCUCCUUCCCCUCCUUCCCCUCCUUCCCCUCCCUCCCCUCCUUCCCCUCCUUCCCCUCCUUCCCCUCUCCUCCUCCUCCGCUGCCUGCCCAACAGGUCAACCGCGCCGUGUCCGAGGCGGAGCUGCGCGGCUCCCGGCGCGCCCUGGAGCUGGACGUGGCCGCCGCCAGCCGCUUCAUAGACGCCGCCAUGCCGGAGCUCAGCCAGCAGCAGCGGGCGGCGCUGAAGAGGGCGGGGCAGGUGAGGCGGGCAAGGUGGAGAGAGAUUGGUGUGGAGGGGGGCGUGGAGGGGGGGAGACGAGGUUGACCGGAGAGGGCUGUAGAUGGGACAGGGCCACAGGGGGCUGGAGGAGAAUGAGGGCUCGUGGGUGUGAGCCGGUGGGGGUUGGGGGGGCAGGAAUGGCCUGGCCUGGGGCGGUGGGGCGAGGGAGUCGGGGCAAUGGUGUGGUGGGUGUCAUCUGCGGCCCAGGCGUCCUGAGCUCCUAACUUGCGGUGUGUGCUCUGAUUUGCGCCUGGGUCUGCAGGCUGCCAAUGAGCGGAGGGGCCUGCCAGAGCGGAAGCCCAAGAAGGCGCGAGGGUGGGCUGGCGGUGGGGGCCGGGCUGGGGGUGCGGACCAGGAGGGUGAAGAGGCGGACGAGCAGGAGGAGGAGCGGCAGGAGGAGGAGGAGCAGCGGCAAGGGCCGGACGCAGACGCGACAGCGGACGGGGGCGAGGGGGCAGCGACGGUGGCGGCCGCAGCAGCAGGAGAAGCUGAGGCGGCGGUGGCGGGGGCGUCGCAGGGCACCGCCCGGCGGUCAACACGCUCUCGCGGCGGCGCAGCAGCAGCGGUCACAGAUAAUGCCACCGCUGCACCAACCCCGAGCAAGGGCAACAAGGCCAGGGGCAAGGGUAUGGCGGCUGCUGGUGGCGAUGGCGGCGCGGCUGCUGCUGCUGCUGAGCAAUUUCUGGCAGGCUUCGCUGCUAAGGGCUAAGGGAUCUUGCCGCGGCUGAGACUUGUGUCACUCGCGGGCUGAUAUUAUGAUCGUGUGGCCAACGGAAAUGGAAAUUGGUACCUGUAGGGAUACGGCGUUGUGCUGGCUCUGAGCGCAUGUUUCGCAGUAUGGCUUCUGGUCCCCGCAGUUGGGAACUGGCGAACUGCGGGCGGGUCGUGUUAACUGCGUUCCAGAAUUAUUUCGUGAGGUAUGGUGUCUGUGGUUUCGUCGAAGCCGUGUGGCGAUGGUGUUUCUCUGGUUCUGGUGUUGCCACCUUCGCCUGCACUGCGCAGGAACGUGUAUGGGGGGUUGGUUCGUGCGUCAUGUUAGUGCGGGUGCUGAGUUGGGGGUCAGUUUGCCGUGGUGCUUACAUGUGUGUGUUCAAGGGAGCUUGGGGCCCAAGUUAUGCAGACGGGCGGUUGACUUGCCCUUCUGGGUGGCGAGCGUGUUGUGUCAGGCAGAGGGCUGCCCAUGCAGCAGACUGUGGCUCCCUACCCCUGCAACACCGGCUCUGGCGGUCUGGCCCGGUGUUGCAACUGGUUGCAACGCCCCAGGCCUCGAUGGAAGGAGGAGCGGGCAUCUCAUGCCCCUCACGCAAUACCUAGUAAUGCCAGAGUUUUGCUCUAAACCAGCUGGUUUCCGCCAGGGGUGCCCCUGGUUAGCCGCUGUGACUGCGCCUCCGGACUCAUGCACGCAUGGACCACGCAUGAGCUUCAAGCCCAGCUCCCUACCUUGAACCGCGUCUUUCCUACUCCUACUGCCUUUCAUAAAUAAUUACUGACCUCGCCAAUCAAAACAGUAUCUAUUUCCAAAACCUGAAAUCAUGAAAACCCUGCGUCUGUCCUUCCUCUGCCCUUGACAAUCCCGCAUCGUCUAUAAAAAAGUGACUACAAUGGCAUCUAAUAACACGGUGUGCGAGGAAUUCGAAGCUUACAAGCGCAUGACCGACGAGAAUGCGGCACAGACAGUCCUUAUGCGGGCGGAAAUAGAGAAGCUCAAGGCUGAGAGGACCAUAAUGACCACGGGUAAAUAUUGACGUGCAGGGUGGAGCCGUAGGCGUUCGGCAUUCAAGACGUUUUCAUCGGGUGAAUUCUGGCAAUUAGAACACAUCCGAACUGCAUUCUUCGUGUCCCGUGAGCAGAGGACUUUGCUCAACUGCUGCGCCUGGGGCUAUCCUGGCUCUGCGCACCGCGCUCCUCAGGCCCAGCUCACGACAAGCAGUCAUAGCUGCUCCUUCCCUCCUAUACUCGCGGACAAUUUUGUGGGAAAUAGCGCUGUGGUGGGCGCAUACUUGGACCCGGCGCUGCCCGGCAAGGACAUUGCUGGCGUAUUCCUGCAAGCUGGUUUAGUCCUGCUGGUUUAGUCCUGCCGGUGUUAUUUUUUUGUGGCGCCCGCGUGGCGCCCGCAACCGGCCGGUGAGGGUGAGGAAGUUCUGACCGUGCUGCGGGGGUCCUCCAGGGUCAGAGGAGGCCGUACCGGUACGGGAGGUACGGGUGAAUGGCGGCCCUUGGCGGCCGGGGGGAGCAGGAGGAGAGGCUAAGGAAGACGGGCCCACGACAGGAGCGUGCUACCUUGCGUGCGACAGUCGUCCCCGGUGUGGAACUGUAGGACAGAGCUGACAAAGUAAGCAUACGGGAAUUGGGUAGAAUGUAAUGGCCAAAUGAGAUGCACGAGUGGGUAUCGUAGCUAGCGUGCCAGCAGCGCCAGAGACAUGCAUGACUCUUGAGCACAUCUGAGCAGUUUGCUCUGCCGCUUAAGUUUGUACUGUAGUGUCUUUGUUUUUGGCUGCCUACACAUUUUGAGCUGCAUUGACUGCAGGAUGCAUAGAAGAGCCAUAGCCAGGUAGGGGGCAGGCUGCACAGGCUGCAGGUUCCAAACGGCAAGAGCACACGUAGCCAUGCUAUGAGCUACGGCUGAAGGCAGCUCCCGGAAUGGCCUGUGAAUGUUAUAUGCCAACCGUGCCUAUCUACUACCUAGGGAGGAGAGGAUUUGCCCGUUAUGUGUUGCAAAUGAAGUCGAAGAUGAGACCAUGGGACCAUGUGCUCAUGCGGUGUACGGUGUAAGACCAGUUGCGUUCGGGUAGCGAGAUCGGUUUUACAGGCGGGAUGCAGGCAGAAUACGGACCCAGCCAGGAUAGCCGCGUUACUAGAUUCCAUUUGGGAGCACAGGAGCAGAAGCACCCCUAUUUGGGGACCAAACUAGCUGCAUGAAAAAGUGUUGCAGGCGUUAUAAGGGCCCCCCGGCCCGGGCCUCGGUUUCUACAAGGACAGGAAUGCACGUUGUGCUCACCACCUUGUAACCACACACAACACAAUAUGCAUUUCGUAGCAGGCCAAGAGGUGGGAGGCGUAAGUGGCGGUGAGGCUGUGCGAACCAGACUUGCGGCUGGGUGAUUGCGUGCGGCAGCUAGGAUGGCCUAAACAUAGCCGUUGAUUGCACUGAAACAGCAGAGACAAGGUAUAUGUGGUGUCCCCUCUCAAAGAGUGAAGUGCGCGGCAGGGGCUGUGUGGCGAAACCGGAUGAUCCAUACAUCCAUGUGUAUAGCCGAGGGUACUUGAUUGGCGCAAGCUAAGCGUGUGCGUGACAUGUUUGGAAGUGUGGAACGCAGUAAGCCAGGCCACUCAUGCAGGCCACUGAUGAAGUGGACAAGCGGUCCGUGACCACACGGGUGUUACCGCUAUCUAGUGCGUCCGGCGGUCCGGGUGCCAUCGCUAGUGCUCAAUCCUUGCUUGGUCCAUCCGGGCCUCCCCUGAUCCGGGCCAUACCUUAGCUACUGCCGCCCCUGGCCCCACGCGCCCCGGAACCACACGCCCUCCCUGCACCCAGCCGAGCCCAAAUUAGUACAGUACGGCGGUACGUCCGGACCCAAUCGCGCGCGUGCCCAGCUGCCGGGCGGUAGCGACAUACCCGGCAUCCCUCCUGCGGUCCCGCCACCAAUGACCAGUGUUGUGGAAACGAAUGCGUACGUAGACCAGAGCGGAUGGCGGAGUCACGGGCGGAGUGGGCUUGCAGGCCACCAAUGACGCUCCUCAUGGCAAUACUGCUUGCCUAUUCAGGCUAUGAGGCUACCAAGCUAGCUACCAUAAUCAAAUGACGACUGUCAAGUGAGUACAAAUCUGCAAUGUAGGGUCAGGUCAAGCCUUCAUUGUAAACUGGCGCUCACCGUCGAACACGCAUUCAUUCACCUGACCCGCUUAACUGCUGCUCCAAUCACGCUCCAGCAUCCAGUUGUGCUCAGCCCGCCAGGGCCGCGAUUCACUCCAUGACACAGUCCGAUUCGUCCCGUCAAUUGGGUCCCGUCCACAAUCUACCAUACGGUAUGCACACUCUCGUAUCACACCAACAGCAGUGUUCUUAGGCCAUUACGUGUUCUUGCAAUUCCUUUCUCCGAAGUCGUUGCCAUACGUCAUGCAAAUGCGGACAUGUCGGUGCGGAAUACCAAGCCACGUGCCAAAGGACAAGGCAGGGCCUGGCAGGGCACGCCAAGUAAGAUUGUGUCCCGUGUGGGCACUGCACACACGCAGCAGGCAUGCUCCCCUACACAAUCACCAGGGGCUACCAACAUGGCUUGGUGCACGACAAUGUUUCAAAGACAUGCGAGAAGGAAUGCAGCAGUGACCCUGCACACCUGCACACAACCCACUUGUCGUAAUACAUGAUACACACCAACACAUGCUACAAGCACACCAUGUCAGCUGCUGCUGCACCCAUGUAACAUCGCUGUCAGUUCUCUCAUAUGUACAUUAGGUCACGCCAGUCCACGCCCUAAUGCAUCUAGCUACGGCGAGCCGGCAUCGCCAUCUAGAUCUACACACGCAAGGACGCGCACCGAAGUUCUUGAAAGCAGCAUGCAGCCUACGAGCUGCACGUGUCGGACUUCUGGCACCAGCUGCAUCUGCUGCUGUGAUGCCGACGAAGCCAUUAUUCAGACGCCAUCGCCUGUGAUACCGAUUCAUUGCGCCUGCUGAUUCACAGCAGUAUGCAGCCUGUGAGCUGCAGCAGCAACUGGACUUAGGCAACACCUCAUGCGCACUUGUGGUGCACCGCUGUCGCCACACGCUGUAUGUUUUGGAUGCGUGGCCCCCCUGCUUCACCUGGCAUGCAGGUUUGUGGGAAGGGGCGGGGCCGUGGCAUCAGAGGACUUGGAUGGAGCCGCGCUUCUUGCGGGGUGCUGGUGGCCGCGUGCGGGACGGCGGCGGCGAGCGCGUCCUCUUGGGCGGCGGACGCGGUGGCGAGCGGCGCGGCGGAGCCGGCGAGGGAGGUUGGGAGGCCGGUCGUGGGGAGGUAGGGGAGGGGGAGGGCGGUGCAGGUGGCGAUGGUGGAGGCGGAGAGGGCGGAGGCGGAGAGGGCGGCGGUGGCAAAAGAGGAGGCGUUGGCGACGGCUGAGGGGGUGCCGGAGGCCUGGGGGACGGUGGUGCCGGCGAGGGAGGAGGGGAGCUAGCCUGCAGGGUGGAUGUAGGCGGCACGCGGCGUACUUGUCAGCAGGGCGCAUUGCUGCACACGCCCUGCCGUCUAGCCACAUCCACCUUGCGUGAGCUAUGCCACCAUGUGCUACCAUACAACCCUACGUACCUGCAGCCUCAGCACUCGCACACUGGGGCGCAAACAUGUACGCACCUGCUGCAUGCCGCCGCCGCCGCCGCCGCUGGUGUCGCGGGUGCCGAGCUGCCCCUGGCGCACGUAGGCGGGGUUGAGCUCGGACGCCAGUGUUCCGCUGAAGUGCCCCACCACCGCCACCGCCCAGCGCUGGGGCAACAGCGCGUCCGGACCCGACAGCAGGCGCGAGGGCAGAGAGUGCGCCGUCACGGUGAUGGUGAGGGCGGCGCCAGGCGACGGGGAGGUGAUGUACACACGUUCAACCGUGUUCAGGCGAUCGGGGGCGGGCAGCACUGCGGCAGGUGGCAGCGGGGAUGGACAGGGGUAGGUAAGAGGGCGGCGGGGACAGCGUCAGGCACUGCUGGGCGAAAGGCCGCGGUAACGAAGUGUUCCACAAGGAGCAAUCAACCGUAUCAGCCGCACGUGUGCACUCACGCGCUCCCUCGGGGUUGUUGCCCAUCAGGCUUUGUGGCGGGCUGCCGUCGCGGCCCCCGCCCAGGCCCACGGUCAAAUCCAGGUCGUUGACCAGCUGGGCCGCCGAGUUGACGUCAGCCGGGUAGUCGUACCAGGUCAGCACAAUGGAGAUGGGCCUGUUGAUUGGGUGGUGGGAAUACGGGUGUAAAAUUCACUGGCUCACUUCCCGACAACACACGGCAACAAGCGCAUUAUAUCGUAUAUCUUCUAACCACAUGAAUGUGUCAAUAUGUCUCACCCCUUGCCCGUGGCCGUGAUCCCUGUGAGCGCCGCCUGCUGGCCGCUGGCGGUGAACUGGCCGCGGUCCGCCACCUGGAGCGAGAAGCCGGCGGGCGUGAGGCCGGGCAGCGGCAACGUGUCCGGCAGGCUGAGGCGGCCCCAGCCCUGGUAGGCGUCGGGCGGGGGGCCCAUGGGAAUGCCAAGGGCCAUAGCCAGGCCACCCUGUCGGGUAGGAGCAAUAAGUGCGAAGUGGUGGUGGACAUGUUAGCAGCAGCCCUGCGCAGCUGUGUGUUGCCUGGGAAGUGCCUGUAGGCUCUGAUUUGGCUGGGUCUGGUCAUACGUCUUGAAGUGCAUGCGCUAUUUGAUCCGAGCUACGCUAGUAUUGCCAUCGCAUGUCCAUGCGCCCUGCAGUGCGGGCAACGCCGUCCACGCACCAUGAGGCUCUUGGCGCCAGCAAUUAUGGCAGCCUGCGGUGGCGGCAGCACAGAUAGCAAACGCUCACACGGUUGCCAGCAACGCGCCUGAGAAACAGGCAGCAAGAAUGCAGGUGCGUGCUGGUGACAGGCAAGCGCACCGCACCUUGAGCAGCAUGCCGCUGGGGGUGAAGGGCGCGGCGGCGGCGUCCGCCGGGGAGCCGGUGGGGUAGAAGCCGGUGCGCAGGUACUGACGCACCAGCGCCGUGUGGCCGGCGGCGUGCGGGGUGGCCAUGGACGUGCCGCUCAGGUUGGCCUGGGCGGGUGAGCAAGCGCCGCCUGCAAUGGCGUGUUCGAAGCCAAAGGCAUGGCAUGUAGUUCACGUCUCUCCACGGGUUGCCCUCCAUUACCAUAACCACAAUCGCUGUACCACACAGCCUGCUCGCUCGCCCCCAUUCUUCUGCAUGCUGCCGGAGUCCCUACCUACCCGUGAUGCCGCCCCUGGCGCCUGCACUGGUGAUGUACAGCCCGGGCGCCACCACAUCGGGCUUGAUGCGGCCGUCCGCCAUGGGCCCGUAGCUGGAGAAGUAAGCCACGGUGUCGGGCCCCGCGGCCUCCUGCAGCCAGACAGCAGGCAGCAGCAGGGAGAGUGCAUUGCGAAAUGCCUGCACGUUGCUGCCACGUCCCGCCUCCUGCACCUUGCCAACGCCCAUGAGUCGCGUCCCGUUUCCUGAGCUGCACUCGCGUGUAGCACUGACCCGCUUCGUGGAUCGAGUGCCCGUGUCUGCUUUGUUCCCCUCCUGAACUCCCCGGCUUACACGCACCACGAUUGACCCCCGGGUCCACUACACAACAACUUACCACGAUGUUUGCCAGGGUCAUCAAGACGCCGGCGCUGGCGUUGCCAAGGAGCCACUGACCCAGUCCCUGUGUGGCGCAGUGCGUUGGGCGCGUGAUGCACGCGCACCCCGGCGUCCAGGGUCAGCUGUCAGUGGCCACGUGUCCGGGGAUGUGCGUAGUUCGCACUGAUUCCUGGUGCAACAAAGACCUGUGCAAGUCUGAGUUGCCGUGUGCCCGCUGGCGCACCCACCUGACUGAUGACGCUGGUCGCCAUGUUCGCGGCAUAGGAGUUCGAGUUGGGGUAGAUCGGGUAGGGCGGGCUGUCCAUCAUUUCCGGCACAUUGUUCACAAAAAUGAUCGCGCCGCCGCCCGCCGCCCGCACAUUUAAGACCUGCGACAAUCAAGUGGGUGUCUCAGUCGCUGUCCAUGUACACUCAGCACCGGGUUCCCGAGGACGUCGCCAACAGAUACGUCUGGUGUGCAGCACGCCCUGCUGUGUUUCACUCCCUCCGCGCCAGCCCUGCCCUGACCUGACCUGAACUUCAGUCCCCACCCAGCCCUGGCCCACCUUCUGGUAGAACCAGCACUCGCCGCGCACCGCCAGCACCACCGCCCCCCUGACCUCGGCCGCCGGGUUGGUCAGCGGCGUGCAGGCGUCGGGCGGGUCGGCCACCACAAGGGGAACCUGGGGGUGGCGAGGGCAGGUAGAGGGAGGCGGGAGGUGAAAGCAGGCGGGGGGAGGGGGGCGCGGCUAACAGCGAGGGGAGGUCUGAGCGCCAAGAGCGAGAUCACAGCGACACCACUGCCAAACAGCGCGGCCGUACACCGUGACUGACCGACCGGUAGUGGUACCUAAAGACCAGUAGUAUUCCACACGGCCUGUUGCCAAGUCUGCCCCUUCCCACCGCACACACACGUAUGCCCCAGUCCGCACCUCCGAGUCCGCCGGUAUGACCCGGAGCAGCUGCGGCAAGUCGGGGUUCUCCUCCGGGUACAGCUGCGGGCACAGGGGGGCGGGGUUCGGGGGGAAGGAGGUUGCCACGCGCGUGCAUCCUGAGGUGUGUUGGGACGACCUGAAACCAGGCACAAUAUGCUUCCUAAACUGCUGCCCUAAGCAUGAAGACGUCCAGUGCAAAAUCUCUGCGUGCCUCUUUUCUCCCGUGCCGCCAAAAUGUCCAAGCCGCAUGGCUGCCACCCACCCACCCACCCGCCCCCCCCCAGUAGCAGCCGCCACGUCUCCACACCCUCACCGCCAGCCUGAACAGCUCCGUGGAUGUGGAGGCGUCCAGGUCGGCGGCGGGGUUGUACCCGCGGACCUGUGUGCAGCCGGCCAGUGCAGUUUGUCUUUGUGUCACACCUGCAUGUCACACCUGCGUGUCACACGUCACGUACGCGGUGCACGGCGCACGGGUGCCUGGGAGCGCAGGGCCAUCCCCCCGACUGAUACGUGACGCCAUCAUGUCCCUCCGCUGCCUGCUGACUCACCUGCAGCAGCCGCGCCCCCAACCCCAGCUCCGCUGGCACCCGCCAGGUCGCACCCACGGCCACGGGGUUCUUGGCGGUGGCGGGCGCACCAAUGCUGCCGCCCGGGGUCAGCGCGUCAGAGCCUGUGCGCGCAGGUGUGCGUGGAAGGAGGGAGGGUAGUCAAACCAUUCUUACAGCAUCCGAGGCCGAGAAAACGCCAAACCAGCCCAGGGGACCAACGGGGUGGAGGCCAGCGUGAAGCGUGCUGGCGCAGGUGGGUGCUGUGCGUGUGUCUGGGCAGUGUCGCUCUAAGCCCCUACCGUUGUUGCCGGCGGCGAUGAAGGCGAUGGAGUCGGGAUUGCGCCACAGGAAGGCGUCGUAGGCUGUGGGCGCAUAUGCAGCAGGCAGGCAGGGCAAGAACGAACACGCCGUCGGGCAGGGAGCAAGCAGUUCUUGGAGGACGUGUGGUUAAAAACGUCAGGGCGAACAGGUACCGCACAGCCCGGUGCGCAACACCAGACCAGCUCCCCCUCCUCCCCUCUUUCCCUGCUCCUGCCGCAGCACACCGCAAUUCGCCCUCCCCUGUACCGUUACUGCACCAGCGGCCCACGUGCCCCAUCACUCCUGGCCCUCUCACCCUGCGCGAAGUCGUCAUAGAUGUUCGCGACUGCGCCCCAGCUGUCCGAGGUGAUGCGGGCCCCGGCGUCAUAGUGGAGCUGCAGAUGGAAGGAAAUAUGCGGUAGUCGGACGCGGUGCGCUUGCAGACAAACCGACAAAGUCCGAACCGCGAAGGCAGUGCGGUGCGGCCCUGCCCUCCAACUGCCACCCAGGGCUGCUAGGAAACACAAUGGUCACCGCCCGAACCCGCCUGCACCGUACUGCACCACCUCGCCAACCAGCUCCCGCCCGCAGGCACCGCACGUGUCGCACAACACCAACUUCCGCCCGCUGCGCCAGGCCCCACGUCACCACGCACCCCGCACUGCCGCGCGCCUGACCCACCCACCCACCCGCAGGUACACGUCAUCCACCGGCUCCGGCGGCCCCAGCGCACCCUGAGGGGCGGCGGCAGUUGACAGGUGGGGAGACGGAGCGAACGCCUCGCAUCAGCACAACAACCAUUAGCCAGUCACGCAUACAGGCCAUGCAUGUCAAACUUGUGUGUGCAUCAGGCCCCGCCCAUGCACACACGUGGUUGCUCAGCGUCCUCCCCUCCACGCCUGUUGGGCUACCCAACAUGCUCCAGGCCCGAACCACACACCUGCAGGCCGCCUGCGGCGGCGGCCGUGAGGCUGAUGUCCACAAAACUCAGCUUGGCCCGCGGCGCGGCGCCGCUGCCCGCGUCCAGCCCCGUGGGUCCGUAGGCCGCCGCGUCGCCCGCCGCGCCGCCCAGCACGGAGCCGUUGUAGCCGGGCGCCAGCUGCAGCGCCAGCAGGGCGCCAACCAUGGAGCCCGCGGUGUGGGUGCCGUGCCCGGCGGUGCCCUGCGCCGGGUUGUCGCCGUAGACGCAGUCUGCAUUGCACGUGUGCAGGCACGUGUGUGCAUGGGGCAAGCGCAGGACACAACGUCGUUUCCCCUGCCUCGGCGCGGCCCCACUCAUCUUUAUGACAGCGUAGCCCUUUACAUGCCUCGUUCGUAAUAAGCGCAAGGAUAAUAGGACAUGCGGGGUUGCAGCGUUGGGUUGCAGCCCCUGCUCCAGUGGAUUCCGGCCGUCCCACCUCCAUCUCGCACCGACGGCACCGUGCACCCUGCUGCCUCCCCCCCGUCCGCCCCCAGCAGCACCCUGCUGCCUCCCGGCCCCUAGCCCACCAGCCCGCUCACUGUUACAUGUGCGCACCCCAGCUACGCGCCCCACGCACCCGCGGGCAGGUAGUACUGCACCAGCUUGCGGUGGUCGGAGGGCCGCCACACGCGGUCGCCGGGGCGUGCGUAGUAGCCGCCGCCCUACAGUUGCAUGUGCUCCAUGGAUCAGCAAAAGCUUGGGAGCCAAAGAUGACUCAUGCCAACUGUACGUGCCCAUUCAUUCUAGUUGGAUGGGUAUGUCGUUUGUCCGUUAUACCCUUGGCGCUGCACAGUGCACACCCACCUGUGAGAAGAGAAACUGUGUGGUCACAGCCGCCAGCUGCCCCGCCACUGCGCCCGAGUCGUAUCGGGGGUCGGACAGGUAGCAGUUGUCCAGGUCCACACCCGUGUCGCCCGACUGCAGGCGGGCGUGGCGUGGUGGGCGGGCAGGUGGGGCAAGCGCGCGUGUGUGUGUCUGUGUGUGUGUGUGUGUGUGUGUGUGUGUGUGUGUGUGUGUGUGUGUAGUUGUGUAGUUGUGUGUGUAUGUGCGGAAAGGUGGGCGUGUGUGUGUGUGUAUGCAGGUGGACGCGAUGGGGCACCAGCAACAGGUGAGGGCAGAGGAAGUAAGGAGGAACAUGGAGCGGGACGACAGCCCAACAGCAGUGUUGCCAUAACAACGCAAGCGGAAAGGACACACUCACCCCCAGGAUCUCGCCGCUUCCGUCCAGCCCCGCCGCCCAGUAGGGCCGCCGCGCCGCUUCCGCGCCGCUGCUUUCGCUAGCUCAGUUUAGCUUGCUAUAGCUCAGGCUGGCUUUUAGAUACCCCCCCCCCCCCACACACACACGCCCCCCCAGCCUCCAUACGCCCCCCCAGCCUCCCCUCCCCCAUCCCCCCCUCCUUCCCCCCCUAACCUGAUGCUGACCGCCAGGCGGCAGUCCAUGGGGCUGGGCGCCACAGCUGUCACGGGGCCGCCGUGCCCCGUCAGCGUGUGGCGGGGGCGGCCGGCCGUGGCGUCCCACAGGUGCAGGGAGCGGUCCGCGCCCGCGGCCAGGACCUGGGGGGCAGGGGGAGAGGAGGAGGAGGAGGAGGAGGAGGAGGAGGAGGAGGGGGGUGGUGUAAGGGAGGAGGAGGAGGAGGUGGAGGAGGAGGAGGAGGGGGGGGGGCGUACAUACAUGCGAGACGUAGUGGGGUGGGAUAGGAGAGAGGUGUGCCAACACCCGGUUGGAAGCCCGCCCUCGCGCCCUCAACCGCCCUCGCGCCCCCACCCGCCCUCGCGCCCCCACCCUCCACCACCACUCGCACGCAGUCAGUCACCUGCGCCGCGUCGCAUGUGAAGGCGCAGUCGUUCACGCCGCCCGUCAUGCCAUGCAGCAGCACCGCCGGGCAGGUGGAGGCGCCGGCGCCCCCGCCGGGAAUUGAACCCGGGCCCACCAGCAGCGAAAUGUCCCACAGCGCCACUGCGCGGUCGGCGCCGCAGGAGGCCACAAAGUGGCCUGGGGAGGGGCAAGGGGGGGAGCAUGAAAGAGGGGGGCGGAGAGGGGGGAGGGGGGUUGCAAGGAUGUUCGGAAAAGCGGUACAAGAUGCACUGAAGACUGCAGACGAAGUCGUUACCACAUAGUUACUGGCCCAAACUAAAUCAUCAAACCAAGCGAAAAAGAGCGGAGCACAGGCAGAAGGGAGUAUCUGGACUCUGGAGGGGGCACCGCCUGGUGGCAGUGCGGGGUUUAGCUUGUGCGUGUGCGUCCCGGCGGCGGGCUGUGGAGGUUGCGAUGCCGCGGCAUCUGCGCACUGCUGCCGCACCACAACAACCACCACCACCACAACCAAGCGCCACCACCAAACGCCACGACCAAACGCCACCACCGAACGCCGCCCUCCGCCACACCCUGCACGUACGGUACCCGGUCCUAGCCCAACCCCAUCUUGCCCAUCCACAGUCCGACAUGCACACAAUCCCCACCCACACAAAGACGGUGCGCAUACACCCUCACACACACACACAUUCCACACCACACAAUCUACACCCACACAAUCUACACCCACACAAUAUCCACACUCCCCCGCGCACUCGCGUGCACUCACCGGGUACCUGCGGUGCCAGGCUGGCACAGCCGCCCUUGUGGCCGUUGGGCACCACCCGCACCGGCAGCCGGGAGGGGAAGCGGUGCUCGGGAGGGGUGAGCGAGGGGUCGUUGUCGUACGGCGUGUGCGCGUGCGGCACGAACCCUAGCCCGCCGCCACCCGCCCCGCCCGCCCCGCCGCUGCCGGGCCGCCCGCCCAGGCCCAUCACCUCCCGCAGGCUGGUGGGGAUGACGCCCAAGACCGAGCUGGCGGCGGCGGUUGCGGCGGCGGUUGCGGUUGCGGUUGCGGUUGACGGCGUCGCGGUGGUUGAAGGGCCUGUUGCUGCCGCUGGCGGCGGCACCACUGGCGUAACCCACUCCCCACUGGCGUCGUCACCGCCGCCGCCACCACCGCCGCCGCCGCCGCCGCCGGCGCCGCCGCCAGGGCCUGCCGGUGCAAGCGACGCCGCCGACGCCAGUGGUUGCGCCAGUGGCGGCGGCGGCGCGCUGGGACUGAUCAUGACUGAUGCAGUGCUGCCGGCGGCGCCGCCGUGUGGGUGUGCGCCGCCGCCAGGGCCGCCGCCGCCGCCGCCGCCACCCGCAGUUGACGCCGCCAUGGCACUUGCCGCCGCCGCGCCCGCCAGUGCCGCCGCCACCGCCUUCUGCCGAAUGAGGUCCGUCGCCUGUGGUUACGGUCGUGUAGGUUGUGGUCGCUAUGGUAAUUGGGGGGGGGGGCUGGUGGGUGCCAGACUGCUGGUGGUGUGUGUGGCACUGUGGUUGUGUGGGCGGCUGCCAAUGUGCCAAUGUGCCAAUGUGCCAAUGUGCAAACACGAGCAGCAGGAUGCGCCGACACACGGGGUUCGUGGGCAUACACACAGCCCCCAUCGCUCCCCCGUCUCCCUCCCUGGUAAGUACAACCCCCCCCCUCCACCUUCCCCCUUGAUAUUUACACACACCGCCAUCACUCCGUUCUCCCUCCAUGGACGGCUGCCCCCCACCCCUACCCCGCCCCCAAUCGCCAAUGCCCCCCCCCCACCACCAGCCGCCUGCACACACACCUGUCGGUCCAUCUCCGCCUCCCGCUUCAUCCGCACCGCAUUCUCCAGCUGCACACGUGUGUCAGCAAGAAAACACUUAACAACACUUGUGUGUUUUUGUGUUUGUGUGAAGGGGAACACGAGGGACAGGGUGCUAACACAGAGCCCCCACAGCAACAGCAGCAGCAGCAGCGGCAACCCACACCGCAUACACCGCAGCAACCACGUAGCCUCCAUCGCCCCCUCCCCAUUCUCCACCCCCACUCCUACCCCCCGCCCUCCUCCCCUUCCUCCUCACACCGCACCCACUCACAUCAGCACCUCAACACUCCCUCACACCCCUCCCUCACCAGCUCUUCAUGCAUGCGGUUGAGUUCAUUCAUGCGCCCCGCCUCGCUCUCCUGCAGGCGUGUGUGCACGUGAGGUGGAGGACCGGGCGGGGGGCGGGACAGGAGGGCGGUACCGGACAGGAGGGCGGUAGGAGAGUUGGUACCGUAGCGAAACACAAAAGACAGAAUGAAGAUGCACACAUGUAACAGAAUGGAAAUUCACACACGUGACAGGAUGAUUCCCAACCGAGUUCAUGUCGCAGUUCAUGCGGGUGGGCAGCAGCGGCACGCGACCACACACCCCAAGUCCAGUACAGCCCAACACGAACCCAACGUUCAAUCCGCCGUACAUGGACAGCUACCCAACUCCCCUCCUCUCCCUCCCCCACUUCCCCCUCUUCCCCCUCUUCCUCGCUCCCUCCCGCCUGCCUCCCCCCACUGUGCUCCUCUAGUUUAGCUCCGUUUGGUUUAGUUUGGGCUGGUAUACACGACCCCCACCUUUAUCUCCACCAGCCUCCGCACCAGCACCCCGUUCUCCGCCCGCAGCCGCUCCGAAUCCGUCAGCGCCGCGUCGCGAGUGGCCAGCGCCGCCUCCGCCUCCGCCGCCGCCGCCACCCGCGCCGCCCGCUCCGCCUCCAGGGAGGCAGCCAGGGAGGCGGCCUGCUCGCGAAGGGCGGCGAUCUCGGCGCGGGCCUGUGUCGCGCGCGUGUGUGUGUGAGAGAGAGAGAGGAGUUUGAGUGAACGAAGUGGGGUGGAGUUUUACACAGAUCGACACACACAUAUACACACCCACAAACACACACACACACACACACACACACACACACACAAUCACACACAAUCACAUUCUCGCCCCCCCCCCCCGCACGCACACAGAGCCCCCGCAGCCCCCCCUCCACACAGAGCCCUUCCCCCCACCUGUGCCAGCUCGGUGGAUGCGGAGGACAGGGCGCUGCGGGUGGUGGCCAGUUCCGCGUUGGAGCCCACAACCUCCUGACGGGGUUGAAGGAGUGCGUGCGUGUGGUCGUGGUGGGGGUACACUUGGCACUUGGCACCCCCCAUGAUCCACUCCACGCACGCCCUCGCCGUCGACUCCCAUCCUCCCACCGCCUUUGGCAGGCCCCCAGGUUCCUGACAAGUCCGAAUUUCUCGCUUCCCCUCCUUCCGCAACCCCCACCAAUUCUCCCUGUCGGCGCUCCAAACUCGAGACUUGCUCACUCUGCCUCUCCGCUAUUCACUCACUCCAUUCCUCACUCCAUUCCCCACCCCACCGGUCAUCGAGCCCCCCUCACCUCCAGCAGGGCCGCCUUGUCUCGGUACAGACCCGCCAGCUGCCCCUCAGCCCGCACCAGACCCGCCCGCGCGCCCUCCAGCGCGGCGGCCAGAGAGGCGGCGGCGGCCUCGUCUGCGGCGGACAGCCGCCUGCGCGCGCGGACAGGGGGGGGGCGAGGCCGCGUGUGUGUGUUUGGGGGGGGGGGACAAUCUUGCUCACCCCUCUCCCGCCCACCGUAACACCUCCCCUUCCCCCACACACAUUUCCUUAACUAGUCAUGAAUGUAACCCCCCCCCCCACACACACAUACCCUCGAUCCCCGCCCGGCUAAACGCACGCAAUACAAACACACAGUCCCGCGUGUGCGAUUUAUACACACACAGUCACACAGUCACACACACACACACACACACACACAUACGCACACAGACACACACGUACGCCCACACCUACACGCCCCCACCUGUGCAGGGCGGCGUUUUCGUCCCUCAGUUCGGCCGCCUCCUUGUCCAGCUGCAGCAGCCGAACCUGGGAGCCGUGGGGGGUAGGAGAGGAGGAGCGGAGGAGGAGGCGGGAGGGAGGCGGGGAGGAAGGCGGAUGGGAGGGUGGAUGCCGGAGGCGGGUUUGAGUGAUGCUGCCUCGUCGGCACCUCAGGCCGCAGCCCCAAAGGCCGUGAUGCGUCACACCUACCUGAAACCCCCGCAUAGCCACCAACCGUCAUUAAGCUUUCUCACAUGCACAUCAUCACUAAACACACAUCUACACCCACAAAUCAACCACACACACACCCAAGCCCCAUUCUCCCACCUCCAGCUCCCGCGCCCGCUGCAGUCCGGCCGCAUAGUCGGCGAAGGGCUGGCUGAAGGGCAGCGUCUGGGUUGCGCUCAGCCGCUGCAGCUGCUGCAGCACGUUGCCCACCACCCAGUCCGGCGCCACCGCCAGAGCCGUGGCUUGCAUGGCGGGCUGCGCUCAGGCUGGGCUGUGUUCCAGUCUGACGGUAUGAUGGUAUGAGGAGGAGGUGGGAGGUGGAAGGUAGGGUGGCCGUGCCGGGUGCUCAGGCGGGCCGCAGCGUGAGGGCAGGGUGGCACUGGCCCGAGCCCGAGACACCACUAGCGGCGAGCUGGGGCUCGCUGGAAUGACAGUUAUUAGCCUUGCGUAUUGCUUAUGAAUUCAGCUGCGUCGCCGGAAGGCGAGGCGGAACCCUAGAAAGAGCCCAAGCUCUGGCUGGAAGCUCCAGCAUGCAAAACAGCUAUCAUUCCAUUAUUGCAUGAAGCUCAUUGCGAACGCAGAAGAAGACUGAAAGUGGCAGCAAGACUGUCCCGUGUCCGCGUCACGCAACGUCUCUGUUGUUAGCGUAGCAUUAAAUACAUCAGUAAUUUGGUACGCUCAAUUGUUGCGCAUAUAAUUACUUGUGCGCCUCAGCUUGUCAAGCUCGUUUCCAAAGAGCUGUUACGCUCCGCCGAUGGCACGCGCGCGGUUGGCACAGUAUGUACCCCAGCAAGCUGACGAGUGACGGCGUUGCGCAAGCUCAGGUGAACUUGGUGCAUCGGCGCGAGCAUGCGGACGGCAAUGUACCACCGUGCCCGCAGCCUUCUGCACUGCGCCCGCGAUCGCCGCCACGCGCCCCAAGCUGCUGUCCCCAUAGGCCCCCCAGUUGCCCCCAUGACAAGUCCCGCCUCUGUCCACGCCCGCAGGCGCAGCGCACGCUUGAACGCCCUACACAACCGUGGUGCCCUUUUGGAAAUGAAUGAACAGGGCCCCACCAUGAGUUGGGUUGGGCUUGUCCAAUGGGUGGAUAAAUGUGUAGUCCCGGUCAGGCCCCAUUCGGGUCCCCGCCGUGCUUGGCUUCGCCUGGCUUCCCGCCCAACACCCCGCAAGUCUUUCCGCCGUGUGCACCCCUCUGCAUGCACCAACCCCUGUCUAGCCGCUUUCCGGGGUACCACGUCACCCUGCUGCCACCGCUUCUCCAACAUCCGAUCUACCUCGAACUACUCUGUAACACAAGCGAAUCCCGCAUCCCCGCGCCCCAAAAAGGAUAACAAAGACGCACACCUCCCUCUCACAUCGCGUUGCUCUCCUUCGACUGCGGUACUCCGUGUCUUGUACGUCCGCACCAAGCCCUGCCAUGGUUUGCAUCAAUCUGAAACGCCCUUGACGCCGCCCGGACAGCACGGCACGAGGCCAAGGCGCUCCCAAACAUCUGGUACCUGGCAGCGGGUGCUCCUGUGCACGCCUGCGUCAGGGAGUGAGUAGAAUCACUAGAAUGCCCCAAUCACACAAUCACAUGCACACCAUUGAGCGCGCCAUGCCGAUCCAGUGACCCACGUACGCCAUGUGCAAUGUCAAAGCCAUGUGGCAUGCGCAGCAGCAUGCGUGACUUGCUAUGUAGCGAUCACUCACAUCCGCCCAUUUCUUCUCUGUUUGUCUGCUUGCCUGCUACCCCAGCCCCAGCCCCCGCCCCAGCCCGCGCCACAGCGCCCCCACCGCCAGAGCCCCCACAGCCGCACGCGCCAGCACCGCACACUGCCUAGCGUGGCCGCCCCGCCAGUGCCUCAACUGGCAUGCGCCGCAGCAGUACGUGAUGCGCUUGCAGGGCGCGCACGUCUUGCCGCGGCCGGGCGCGACAAGCGCGACGAGCGCGCUGGGCCCAUCCAGGCAGCUGCACCCGGGGUUGCCGAACAGCGCGAAGGCGCCUUCCACAGCCACAGCAGCUGCCACCGUGCCGCUGCUGCCGGUGCUGCACCCGCCAUCACCACCACGCCCGCCUCUCGCAGCCGCGCCGCCGCCACCUCCGCUGGCGGCAUCAGCCAGCCCAGCUAGGGGCUAGUCCAACGCCCGGCCGUGCGGCUGUACAGUGCCACGCACACGGCGGACGCCAGGACUGCAUUAGCUCUUCAGAACGAAUGUCCAAUCCGCUCAGGCGGCAGGGCCCCGCCGCCUCCGCCGCCAUGAGGUCUGCCAACACUAGGGCGGGCACUGUCGCAUACCCCGGUCGGGUCGCACGCAGCAGUUAUGUGGCCGGGCUAUGCUGGAUGCCCGCGCCGGCUGGAUGAGUCUCCGACCCCGCCCAGGCAUCCCUCCCACCUUCCUGCGCCCAUGCAUGUGUGUGCUGCCCCACAGGCUCCAGAUUCAUCACUACAGCUGGUUCUAGAUGACCGCACGACAACCCUGAACCUAGGCUUUCCUCGUGGGGCUGAGCCCAGUCCAGGGCUACGAACCGUGGCUACGAACUGAACAAGUUGUUACUGCCGCUCCCGGUUGUGCACCAUAUGCAGCACACGGUGCCGGAAAGCCAUUGUCAAUCCUUACUAAUAGGCGGAAUAAGAUUUGAGGACGGAGCAGCAGAAAAUGACGAGCACGGGUUCCGUCAGGGCGGAAGGGGAGUUCGCCUCUGGAGGGAGGGGAGUUCGCAUGGCCGCAUGGGCGGGAAGUGUGCAGGCCAGGUGCAGCCUUAGUACCAGGACUUAACUCUCAACUUCACUGUCUAUUUACACCUGCUUUCCAUGUUAUGAUACCCAGCAUGCACAGGACAUUACAGGCCGCUGCAACUUGGCAAUGAGCUCGGGCAAAUACUUCCGUCUCUCGCGGGCUCAGUUGCGAUCAGUUAAUUUAAGCUCUGAUUCAGACGGUGGUGGUGCCGAUGGGAGCGAGGCAGCUGCGCAGGUGGGACUUCUGAAGAACUUCUGAAGAGCAAAUUCAGCGACAGCAGAGCAAAAUGGCUGGCCGAGGGUGGAGACAGUCCGAUGUUGAAUCUGUGAGUAGAUCCAUGUCCAAUUGAGCUUGUCUGUGGGGCACGAGGCAGGGAAAAGUUACCAGCCUUCCUCAAUCUUCUUGACGUUGACCCGCACCUUGUCACGUCCUGACCCGCCCGCAGCUCGGCGGCAUCAGUGUAUCCAGCUCACUUGAGCGUCAGGCUAUGCGAGAGCAGCUGGACGCAGUGCGGAGCACCUUAAACACGCUUGCCGGGCCGGGUGCGGGAAUCGCAGGCCCAGCGUCAGGCGUCACUGCUGCGCCCGGCACCAGCCACCCGCCCCUCGAGGUGGUCCUGACAGAUAUUGCGUCAAAGCUUGGAACUAUUGAGGGCCUUUACGGCUCGCUGACUGAACGACUUGACAGCAGCGAGCGCCACAUCAAGAAUUUGCAGCACUUUUCCGCGAGCACCAUUCAUGAGACCGCGCGCCUGGUGAGUAGGGGUUGUUGUGCAACGUCACAGGCUCUGUUAGGAUUCGGCCUUGCCAUAACUGCGGCUUGCCGCCACCCGGGCCGCUUGGCAACACCCUCCGACGCUUCCGCUGUCUCCUACCUUCCUCCUGCCAGCGCACCGCGCUCGCCAUCACCCCUGCCCUCGUACCCCUCCUUCCUUGGACACAGGUCGACUACGUUGGUGGGCGCGCGACGACCCCGUCCCGUGCUACCAGCAUGGCGGGCGGCGCGGGGAGCAUGGGCUUGGGGCCGUCGGUCAACCUGCGCGGCCGCCACAUGGCCGGAGGCGUGCCCACGACGCCGACCCCCGUCACUGGCGGCGCAGCAGGGGCACGCUCCGCUUUGCAUAUCCUGGAGCAGGGCCCCAACCACAUGGGUGCCACGCUGCAGCAGCACGCGGCGCAGAUACACAAGCUGAUUGCGGGGCUGGACUUUCUGGAGGCUCACAUCAUCCGACAGGACCAGAUGGUGGAGUCCCUGCAGAAGCAGGUCACCACCGGCUCGCCCGCCGGCGUGGCGGCAGACGGCGGCCGCAUCCCCAGCGAGCUCUCGGUGCGCAUGCACGACAUGUCGGAGCUGCUCAACAAGCUGCGCUCGCACAUGUACAAGGUGGAGAAGAAGUCGGCGGGCGGCGAGCAGGCGCUGGCGGCGCUCACGGCGCGGCUGGAGGCGCUGGCGGAGCGGCUGCGCGCGGUGGAGGACCGCGGCGGCGGCGAGGGCGGCGCUGGCAGCGGCUCGGCGCAUCGAUCCUCGCACGAGGGCGACCUGUCUUCCACGCAGCAGGUGAGCGAGGCGAGAGGCUACCGCCGGCAGGUUGCGUCCGCACCCGUCCGCGCUGGCACAUGGCCGCAUGUCGCCUACAGAUAAGCAGGUGAUUCAUGAGCUCAAUUGCCCGUGUUGUUGCCCCCGGUCGCAGACCCUCCACGAGCUGGCGUCGGCCCAGGCGGAGCUGCGCGGCAUGGUGCUCGACGUUGGCCGUGAUGUGGCGCAGCUGCGUGACCAGGUCGAGGCGCAGCUGCAGCAGGCCGACUCGCAGCCGCAGGCCGCUGGGUAAGCCCCCGGGGAACUUGCUUGUGAGAUGAGGGCGGCCGUGGCAGUAUGGAGCGUGCGCGCAAUCAGUUCCCCCCCUUUGACUAGCCCCAGCUGAGACUGCAACUUGACGUUUCGUUCGUAUUUCCUCAUGCAGCGUCUCUGCUGCGGAGGGCGCUGAGAUGCGCCGGCAGCUGGCCUUCUUGAUGGCCCAGGUGCCCGUGCUGGUGGCGGAGAACGGCGAGCUCAAGACGGCUGUGGCCUCGUUGCGGCGGCGCCUGCCCGACCUGGACGCCACCCGCGACCAGGUCGACAGCAUGGAGCGGGAGCUGGCGGCACUGCAAAGUGCCGCCGGCGCCAGCGGGCUGCGCGGCCCCGCGGCCGACGUGGUGGCGGACGCCGCGGAGGAGGGCCUGCGCCGCGUUGCGGCGGUUGAGGAGCAGCUGGCGGGCCUGACCGGCCGCGUCGAGGGGCUGGUCAGCCGGGAGGAGCUGCAGUCGGUGGCGACGGCGGCCGCGGCGGCGGAGCAGGAGCUGGCGGCGCUGCGGGAGCGGCGUGAGACGGCGGCCGAACGCCGCGCGUCCAUGCCCGGUGCCGAUGCGGCGGCGCUGUCGGCGGAGGUGGCGGCGGCCGCCAAGGCGGACCUGAUGGAGCACGUGGGCCGCAUGCGGGAGCGCCUGGAGGUGUCGGCGGCGGCGGCUGAGGCGGCGGCGCUGCGUAGCAAGGAGAUGGCGGAGGAGGCCGCGGCCCAGUGCACCGAGGCGGUGGAGGCGGCGGCGGCGCGCCUGGCGGAGGUGGAGGCGUCCGCGGCCGACAUGGCUGCCAACGCGGAGGAGGCUGUGCGGAAGGCUGGCACCGCCGCGGCGGCCAGCGCAGCUGCGGCGCUUCAGGAGAGCGUGCUUGCCAUGGUUGCCGGCGUGGAGCAGGAGCAGGGCGCGCUCAAGCAGCAGGUGCGACUAAACAGGCCCGGCCCCGCGUGUAGCGUCAGUUGUGUUGGCUUGCUUUGCCCUGGGUUACAGCGCGGGCUGACAUGCGUUGGUGUGUAUGUGCUCGCAGCUCGCCAACCUUGCGGCUCAGGUGUCUGAGGAGCAGGCUGCCAUCUCGGCUGGGCUGAGUCAGGUGCAGGAGCAGGUGGCGGCGGCGACCUCGGCCGCCAUGGACGCCGCCACGUGCGCGCAGCUGGUGCAGCAGGCCCAGGCGGAGCAGGGCUCGCGGGCCGACCCGACUGAGGCGCUGCAGGAGGUGCAGGACCAGCUGCGUGAGCAGGUGAGAUUGCCAGGGCAGGGCUGUGGCAGCCGUGGGCGUCCAGAACGAAGUGCAUGCGCGUGGGGCUAUUUGCGCUUGGAGGGCUUGGCAUGCACAGCUACCCUAGCGGGUGGGUCGAGGACUCGAGGCGGCUGUGGCUGUGGCUGUGUGGGGGAGUCCCGGCAGCUGCCCGCUGGCGGUGCACACGAACUGCAUCCCCCCUACCUGGCUACGCCUUCUCUUCACAUAGUCAUGAAUGUUACCCCCCACUUCCUUAGCUAAUCAUGAAUGCAACCCCCCGGUCAGGUCGGCGCGGUGAUGGAGGGCCUGAAGGGCCGCGUGGAGGCGGCGCUGCAGCAGGUGGACGAGCAGCUGGCGGCCGCCGCCGCCGCCAGCGAGGCGGCGCUGCAGGAGCUGCGCGGCGCGGCGGCGGACGCGGCGGAGCGCGGCGACCUGGCGCUGGCCUCGGUGGAGGGGCUGCGCGCGGAGCUGAUCCUGCUGACGGGGCAGGCGGACGUGACGUCCACGCGGCUGGAGGCGCUGGAGGCGGCGGUGGGCGUGGACCCGCGCUCCAGCGUGGCGGCCAGCCCGCUGGGCGGCGAGCAGGCGGCAGGCAGGCGGGUGUCCGCCAGCGACCUGGAGGAGGCGGCGGCGGCGGAGGUGGAGGCGGAGGCGCUGGCCGCGGCCGAGGAGGCGGCCGAUGCCGGAGGGGAGGAGGAGGAGGCGGAGGAGGAUGGCGCCGAGGGCGAGGAUGGCGCUGCGGCGGGCGGCCGGUCUGCGGCCCGGGCUGCGCCGCGUGUGGCGGCACAGGGCGGCGGUGGCGGCGGCGGUGGCGGCGGGCUGUUGGACCUGGUGGCGCAGCUGCGCGCCCGUGUGGGCGGCCUGGAGGGCGCGGUGGAGGCGGCGGCAGCGGACAUGGACGGUGUCCGCGGCCAGCUGGUGGCGUCCAAGCAGGACGCGGAGGACGCCAUCCAGCAGGUGGGUGCGUUGGCAGUGGCGGUGGCGCUGGCGAUGGCGAUGGGGAGGAUGUGGGGAGUGCAGCGGGCUUCGGUCCAGCCUGAGGCGCGCUCAUAUCCGCGUUUUGCGUUGAAAGCGACCUGCUAAGCUGAAAGCCGGUUCUCCUGUGUGGGUGCCUGCAGGCCACGUCGCGGCUGGCGUCGGAGGUGGCGGGGCUGACGCAGGCGGUGGGCGCCAUGGACGAGCGGGUGGCCAGCGCCGCCAGCACCUUUGACUCCAUGGCCGCCGCCUCGGGUGUGCUGCAGCGCCGCGCGGAGCAGCAGGCCGCCAGCACCGCCGCGCUGGAGGCGCAGCUGCAGCAGCUCAAGGUGCGGGGGGGAGGGGGUUUAAGAGGUGCUGUUAAGCAGUGUAGUGGCGGAAGGGGUGGGCGGGACGGCAGGGACUUGCGAGGGGGGUCUGGCGCGCCGGGUGGAAUCUGCGUGUGCGUUUGUUUGCCGAUGUGCGGCUCCUGGCGCCUUUGGUGGUGUGCUGACGCACGUAUUGCUGCCGCGCACGUGCGUGCAGGUCAAGCUGGAGGAGGAGGUGGUGGACCGGGUGCAGGAGACCUCGCAGGCGCUGGCCUCGCUCACGGUAGGCAGGGGUUGGGCGGGUGUGCACGGCCUGUGCAGCCGCGGCUGACCCAUUUCCCGUGGUCCUCAAGGAGCUAGCGGACCCCUACCUCACGCCAUUUUGCUGUGUGCCGCACGUCGCUGCAGUCCCGCAUCUCGCGCGACUACGUGAACCGCGAGCAGCUGGGCGCAAUCUUCCAGGCGCGCGCCGACAUGAAGCGCGCCGUGGACGAGCUGGCGUCGGUGUUCGACACCGGCCGCCUCGUGCGCGAGGUGGGAACAGCGGGGGGGGGGGGUAGGCGGGUGGCAGCUCUUGCAGCAAGGCGCGGAUGUGGUGGUGUUGCACGUUUGGCAGUGGAGAAGCAAGUCCACCCUGGCUGAAAGUACCGGCACGCUGUUGCCUUGCAGGCCUCCUCGGACGACGUGGCGGUGCAGGCGCCGUCCCGCAGCGGCUCCGUGGCGGCGCGCAACGGCAACGGCGAGGAGGGCGCGGUGCUGUCGCCGCGGCUGGUGCAGGCGCUGGAGGACCUGGCGGGCAAGCAGGCCGAGCUGGAGCAGCAGGUGCGGGCGGCACCUGGGCCCUGGCUCCUUGCAGGCAGCUUGGGCGAAGGUGUUCGUAAGCACUAGCUUGUACUGCUAGUCUUGCUCAGGCUGAUCGGCGUCGGUUUGCUGAACGUCCUCCUCACAGGUCAAGCUGGCCCUGUAUCGAUCCGAGAGCAUGGUGCGUCACGAGCAGCUCAACUCCAUCCAGCAGGCCAUGGUGACGCUGGAGAUGCAGUUCCGCCGCAUGGGCGCCGCGCCGCCCGCCUCGCCGCAGCACCCCGCCGCCCUGCCGCCGCUGCCGCCCGCCAGCACCGCAGCCGUCGCGGCCGCCGCCGCCGCUGCGGAGGCGGCGCAGCAGGAGCUGGCGGAGCUGCGCGCUCGCGUCGCGGCGCUGGAGGCCGCCGUGCCCUCAGCCGCCACCAGCGGCGCCGCGGCCUCGCCCGCGACCGCGGCCUCGCACGGACUGGGCCAGGGCCACGGCGCCGCGGGCCACCAUCGCCGCACCGCGUCGCGCGACAGCGCCUUCGUGCACCUGUGCCUCUCGCCGGCAGACCCCGCUGCGGUGGCGGCCGGCGGCGAGAGCCCGCUGCGCGUGCGGCUGCUGGUGGAGGCUGUGUCCACGCAGGACGGCGCCGGCACCGACGCGGACAUGAGCGUGGCGGAGCCGUCGCUGUCUCAGCUGCUGGUGGCGGAGGAGGCCGAGGAGGCGGAGGCGGGCGCGGGCGGCGAGGCGGAGGGCACCAGCCUGCAGGCGGCGCUGGCGGUGGCGGAGGAGGUGCGGCAGCUGCGUGGCGUGCUGGGCGACCUGACGGAGCUGUGUGCGGGGCUGCAGGACCAGGUCACGCAUGCCGCCGAGUCACGCAAGGUGGGUUGCUGCCGCGAGGCGCCACGCGCCACGGAUGGGCGGGUGCAAUCCAGGGUUCGAAUGCGCUUGCACGGCUGCUGAACGGCAAUGUUUACGGCUAGCUAGUCUCUGCACUUACUCCUUUGGUGCCCGUGUGACGGCGCUGUUUCCUUGCAUGCGCCCAGGUGCUGGAGGAGACCGUGUCGGAGCUGCAGGAGCGGCUGGACUCGCAGGUGGCCGCCACCGCCUCCAGCCUGGCGCUGAUGGCCACCAUGGCCACCGACCAGCACGACCAGCACAAGCAGCGCAGCGCGGCACGCCUGGAGACGGCGGCGCGCCUGGAGGCGGCGGCGGCGGCGGGCCGCAGCAGCCGCAGCCUAGGCCUGGGGCUGGCCGUGGGCGGCUCGGAGGAGGGUGACGAUGACGGCGGCGAGGGGCUGGACACGCUGUCCACGUUGGCCCGGACCGUCAACAUGCUGGCGGCGCGGCUGCAGGCGGCGGAGGACCAGCUGGAGGCGGCCUUCGUGGUGCGCACGCCGCGCAGCCCCACCUCCCGCGCCGCCGUGGCGGCCGCCGCCGCUGCAGCCGCCGCGUCAGCUGCUGCUGCUGCUGCGGCGGCGGCGGAGGUGUCGGGUGAGGAGGCUGACGUGGAGGCUGACGUGGAGGCUGCCGGUGCUGCGGAGGCCGGCGCUGAGGCAGCGGCAGGCUCGGGCUCCGGCGCGGCUGGGGCCGCCACGUCUGCUGAGGACGACGGCGAGGAGGAGGACGAGGAGGGCCGCGUGCUGGGCCUGGGCUUGAUGGUGCCGGUGGUGCCGCGCGAGAUGGAGCGGCAGCUGGGGGCGCUGCAGGGCGCGGUGCAGGAGCUGGCCGCGGUGGUGGGCCGCCUGGGCGGGCGCGUGGAGUCGCUGGAGGAGGCGGGCGCGCUGGAGGACGUGCGGGCGGCGGCGGCGGAGGUGGUGCUGGAGGCCAUUCCGGGCGCCAUCGCGCAGCAGCUGGAGUCAGUGCUGGGUCGGCAGGCGGAGCAGGCAGCGGACGCCGCGCGGCGGGCGGAGGCGGAGGCGGAUGCCGCGCGGGCCGCGGCCGCGGAGGCGGCGGCGGCGCGAGAGACGGUGGAGGAGGUGGCGGUGGUGGUGCGCGGCGCGGUGGCGGUGGCCGAGGCUGCGCGCGAGGCGGCGGCGGCGCGCGAGGAGGCGGCGGCUGUUGCCCUUGACGCGGUGGAGUCUGCUGUGCGUGAGGCGGCUGUGGAGGCGGAGGCGGCACGCAACUCCGUGGUUGACGCCGAGGCCGCGCGCCAGGCUGCGCAGGAGGCGCAGGCCGCGGCGGAGGCGGCGGCAGCAGUCGUUGCCGCCGCACAGCCUGCCGCGCCUGCCAGCGCCGGCGCGGACCCCGCCCUGGCGGAGUCACUCCAGGCCGCGUGCGUGGCGGCGGCUGUGUCUGCUGCCCGCGAGGCGGCGGUGGAGGCGGCGGUGCUGGCGGCGCGUGACGCGGCCGCAGUGGCGACGCAACGGGCGGUGGGCGCGGCUCAGGAGGCCGCGACAGAGGCGAUUGCGGCGGCGGCGGUGCGCGCCUCGUCGCCGCGCGGGCGCCCCGACGACGCGGGCGUGGCCGCCGGCCUGGCGGCUGUGACGGCUGAGGUGAAGGAGGUGCAGUCGGGCUUGAGCUCGGUCACUGCCCGCCUCAAUGAUGUGGACUCGCUGCGAGACCAGGUGCGGGUUCCGCUACGUUGGGCGCCAAACUGCCUACGACUGCGUUGUUUCUGACAUGCCCUGACACACGCACGCCCGUCUUCCUCACCCCUGCAGCUGGAGGCCCUGGCGGAGCAGGUGCGCUAUGCCGCCGCCGUCGCCUCGGCCGCCGACGCCAACGCAGCGGCAGCAGCGGCCGACCCCUCGCAGCCCGCCCCGCAGUCCCAAGCGCCCGACACACCACCCUUCAACUCGGACGGCGGCAGCGCCGCCGCCGCCACCGUGGCCGGCAUGUUCUCGCCCUCCGCCACCGCCGUCAUCAUCCCGCCCUCCCGCACCCCGCGCAUGUCGGGCGCCGGCGCCUCGCCGAUGGGCGGCCGCGCCGCCGGCACCGCCGCCGCCACUGCCAGCCAGCAGGCGGCCUUCCUGGCGCGGCUAGUGGAGGUGGUGAAGCGGCAGAGCGGACGGCUGCACGCGCAGUACAGCGACGCCGAGGAGACGGGCACGGCGCUGGCGGCGGUGGACAGCCGGCUGGACGAGGCGCAGGCGGCGCUGGCGGCGGCGGACGUGCGCGACGUCAACUCGCCCGCCUUUGCGGAGACGCUGGUCACCGUGCUGGAGCAGGGUAAGCAGGGCGGGGCUGCGGGGGCUCAAGCCUGCGAUACGGUGUGAUGCAGUGUGUAGGGCGGUGGGGCUGCAUCGUGAGCGAGAGCCAGGACGCAAGCUGAGCACGCCCCCAGUCCCUUGUCGGCUGCUUGCGCUUUCCUUGAUGUGCCUACCGUGUUGCUCCCCCGGACCCGCGCCCCACUGCGUUUGCGCUUGUUGCAGUGGCGGCGCUGCGCUUCAUCGGCAGCCAGACGCACCCGGCUGUGCAGCAGAUGGUGCUGCACCAUGAGAACCGCCUGGAUGAGGUGCGUGCGCGGGUGUUGGGUUCGUGUGUGUGUAUUGUGUGUGUUGUGUGAGUGUGUAUAAAACCAACAAAACGAAGUGUGUGUAUGUGCGUGUGACAAGGGGUGAUGGGCAGUGCCGGGGGCUCCUGUGUCCCGUAGCAUGGCAAUUGAUAUCAGGCAGCGAACUGCCAAGAUGGCCGCGGCUGCUUUGCUGCUGUCGCCUUCCUCAACGCUGCCGCGCCUGCUCCACUGUCUCACAGAUCGCGGAGCAGCUCAAGGCCCUGGCGACCGGCCUGCCUGCGUCCAACGGGGCCGGCGCCGCCGCGGCGGACGGCGGCGCCCGGCCGGCAGCCGACACGGGCGCCGCCACCGCCGCGCUGGCGGAGGAGGUGGUGGGCGUGGUGCGGCGGCUGGGCCGGCUGGAGUCGGAGCUGGGCACGGUGGCGGGCCACACCGCCGCGCUGGACAAGGCGCUGGGCUCCGUCCUGGAGGCGGUGCGCGGCCUGGGCGCGGCGCCCGCCCCCGCCCCUGCCGGCGAGGAGGCGCAGGCGGAGGCAGACCAGGCCGCCGGCAACGCCAACGCCAACGUUGCUGUUGCUGGUUUCUCCUCCUCCGCCUCGUCUGUGGAGGUGGCGGCCCUGGGCGCCAAGGUGCAGCUGCUGGAGGAGGUGCUGGAGAGCCGGCUGGGCGGGCUGCGGGAGGAGGUGCGCGCCGCCAUUGACACCGCCACCGGCGUGGCGGCGGGUGGCGGCGGCGGCGGCGGCGGCGGUGGUCUGGGCAUGAGCCUGGCCUCCGCGUCCGACCUGGCGGCGCUGGACGGGCGCGUGGCGGCACUGCACACCGCCGCCAGCAACAUGCGCAACCGGCUGCUGGCGGUGCAGGAGUACGUGGACAGCACGCAGGUGGGCAGAGGAGAGCAGGCGGGGAGCGCGUGGGGAGUGGGUGUUGGGACGGGCGAGAGAAAGGGGGUCGCGGUUGCAGUUGAUGGGAACGCGCGCGGCAGGGCUUGGCAAGGGUGUGGGAGCGCCGUGUCAGCGCCGUCGUGUACUGACGCGCGCACCCGCCGCGCAUGGGGCUCGCCGCCGGCCGCAUGACCGCAGGGCAUGAUCAAGGACAUGCACGUGGCGGUGGGCUCGCUGCACCGGCGCAUCGACGGCCUGGAGGCGGCGGCGGCGGAGCAGGUCGGCGGCGGCUGGGGCGGCGGCGGCGCGGCGGACGGCUCGGGCCCCGCCAGCGGCCGCGCGAGUGUGUCGGGCGAGCCGUCCAGCCUCAAGGAGGUCCAGGUGGGUAAACACACACACACACACAGCACACACGGGUUGCCAGCCUCGGCAUUGCAAGCGUGCUGCCGCGUUUGUACGCGGUCCUCGUGCGCCCGCCCACCCUGUUACCCAAGGCACUCACACCGCGCGGCAAGCGUUCUGCUAUGGUGUAUGUUGCGAGAGGUUUGGUGUGUGUGUGUGGGUGUGCCCACCCCCCGCCCGCUACUGUUUCCUUAUGGGAUUGGUUAACAGGUACCUCCCUCCCUCCCCCCCCCCCCCACACACACCGCCUGUGCCUGUGCCUUGCAGUCGGAGCUGCUGCGGCUGGAGCACCGGCUGCUGGCGGCGGAGGGCAGUGCGCUGGAGAGCGCCCACGGCCUGGCGUCGCUCAAGGCCCUGGCGCCGCGCCUGGCGGAGGCGGAGGCGCGGCUGGCGGACGCAAGCGGCAAGCUGGCGGCGGCGCUGGGCGGCUCGGGCAGUGCUAGCAGCGGCAUCCCGGCACCGCCCAGCGGCGUGACGCUGCCGUCGGUGGCGGCGGGGCUGCGGGCGCUGGAGCGGCGCGUGGCGUGCCGGCUCGAGGCGGGCGUGGUGGCGCUGGAGGGGCUGACGGGGGCAUUGGGUGCGGCCAGCCGCAUUGAGCGCGAGUCCACAGCCAACCCGUUCAAGGGUGAGGCCCGGGGUUGGAUUUGCAUAGUUCUUCCUUUGCAAAUAAAGAUAUAGCUGUCUCACUCACGUUGUGUCCUGCAUCGGCCGCUCAGUCUCGUUAAGCUCGCCCCUUCCCUCGGUUGUCUCUCACUUGUUCCCACCCACCCUGCUGCCCCUGCAGCCAUCUCUGCCGCUGUGAACAACCCGGUGGUGGCGGCGCUGGAGAAGAAGGUGGAGGCGGUGCGGGCGGAGCUGGCGGCGGCGGCGGGGCUGCUGCUGGACGACCUGCGGCGCGACGCGCGGGAGCGGCCGCCCAGCCUGGACCUCAGCGCGCACGGCGGGGCGGGGGGCGGCCUGACGUUCCGGCCGUGAGGCUGCAGGGCCGUUUGGAAGGCGGCCAGUGGGUGCGAAACCGUCGUUACCGGGAAACUGUGACCGUUGAGGGAUCGCUAUGAGCGGGUUUUGUUUGCUAGCAGUAGUGCUGCAGAAGCAAUCAGUGGUGGCUGCAGUAAGUGGGCCGGUCUUGUGCGAGCUGGGCAGGCCGCGCCCCUCGUGACCUUUCGACUGCAGGUAAUCGUACGGGAUACCCCCUUGUGAUGGGAAGGUGUGAGCAACAGGAGAUUGUGUGGGUCACUCGUCGUGUCGGACUGCAUGCGUAGGCCGUAGGGGUAUGUGUGGUGCGUGUCGGUAUACGGUAUGGGUAAUUGUCGAACGGACCAAACUACGUGAGCAAACCUUUCGGAAUGUGUAAACUGCAAAAGCUGCAAAAGCUGCAGCCACAACCUUGUGAUAGCCUCACACAUUCACACUUGACGGUGCAGGAGCAGGCACCUGCUUUUCUCAGCGUAUUGAGCUGGCCUAAAAUUGUAACAUUGGCGCGGAUCGCCCUUUGCAUUGCCUGGUGUAGCGGGCGGGCACAUAGAUAGCGAGCGUUGGCGGAUUUACAUCGGGGCAGCCAUCUGGGCACGUCGGCACGCCUAUCUCCAAGCUAGGAAGUUGUACGCUUGAUGAUCGGCACUGCUUCAAUCUUACAUACCGUACUCGCAAAUAAUAAUUCCGAGCUGUGAUACACCAUGGCUCAGGCCAUGAAGGCUGUGUUCUCUGCGUCGUUGGUGAGCUCAUCAAGUAUUCUGAGCGCAGCUGAUAAUAUCUCUAUCGCCGAGAACACUCCGGGCGUACUUGUGCGCCCCCGUGACUGCGCUGGCGUCACCCGAAUCAUGGUGGAAGGUAAGCUCUUCACCCCUGCUGGGCUCUUCCCGGCUCUGCGGACCGAUCCUUCACGUCAUACCACUAUACCUGCUCUCAACAUGCAGAGUCGGUGAAGGGAAAGGCCUGCAUGAUUUGCCUGGAGGUCAUGCCGGAGUCAGACCGCUGGGCUGUGAAGCAUGUCAGCACAGAUGAUGCCCACUUCGGCGUGCACCGCGACUGCGCCAGGUCGCUUGGCGGACGCUGUCCCGCCUGCAGGGAGCCAACCUCGGAGCUGAUCGACAUGUGCGAGGUUACGCGUGUGUAUGUGGUCUCAGACGACGCGGACUGACGCGGACUGGCGCCUUAGCUAGGCGCAGCAGCUAUUGCUAGGGGCUCCCGUGUGGGACUCCUCAGUACCGUGGGCUGCUUUGAUGCUAUUAUGAUGUUAUUGUAUAUAAGGCCAGGCACUCAGGCAGGAUGGGGCAGGAAAGCGCAGAGGCGCGUGCGUGCCAGAUGUCGGCAUAUGGUAGUCACCAAAGGGGGUUCCAGGCAUGACUGGUUAACAGAGGGUUGUGUUCGAAACGGCACAGCGCGGCACGGAGUUAAUGCCGACUGCCACCGGUGGUGAGGAUGUACUGCAGAUGCACGCAUAUGCGCUCCUCCCUUCUCACCUUCCCCUCUCGGCCCCCUCCUGGCCUCCUCUCCUCCCCCGCCUCCCCCCUCCAGGUGUUUGGGUACGUGUAUGAGGUGGAGACGGGCCGCAUCCGCGAGGUCAAGUAGGAGCACGGGUUUUGUGCCCGAGCCCACUGAGAUAAGAAGGCCACUGAAAUAAGAGGGGAACGCGGUAGGCGCAGGCGGGGUGCCUUGAGAGUGGGGGGGAGAGGCUGCGGUUGUGAGGCGAUCCGGAUGAGUGAUGACCGAUGAGUGUUGAGUGAUUGGGGGAGAGAGGCAGAGCGCACUGGGAGGCCCCAGAGAGAGGAGCGGCGGACGGCGGCGGACACGACUGGGGCGCAUGCAGAGGGUGCUGUCAGCGCAUGGGCAGCAGCAGCAGCAGCAGCGGCGGCGGCAGCAGGAGGACGGGCGUCUGGCUAGGCUGGUCGUGGAGGCGUGAGGGUGGUGCUGGCGGGAGGCAUUCCGCACUGGUUGGUUGCAUUAUCAUCGAAAUGCGGGCAGCCGGAGGUGGUGUGGGCCGGGUGCAGCAACUCGCACAGAUUGCGUUGUGCACCGGAAGCGGAGUGUGUGUAACGAAUGGUGAGCGCCUCGAGCCCUCGAGUGCUAAUGCGGCCACAUCACGUCUUUCUUUGUCCCAUUGAGUCGGCUGCAGCGGUUGAAGGGGCUUGGCGCACGAAGCUUGCUAGGGGCACACACAAUCAGUCAAAACACACAUGUGAAGGUCCUGGCUUCUUCUACAGCCCCACAAUCCGCCCCUCCAUCGCCACCAGCACCACCGUACUCGGCUGCUGGGUUGCCUGUCCGCACCCCGCACAUCUCAUCACCCGGAGUAGCGGUCUUGAAUAAUAGCGGCGCUGGAGACCUCAAGUGUGCUUCCACACAAGCCGAGAAGCCUUCCCGCACGUACCCCAAGCAUUCGCAUCAAUUCCACCCACUGCUCCGCCGCCGCCGCCGCCGCCGCCGCCGCCGCCGCCGCCGCCGCUGCCGCUGCCGCCACCCGCAAUCUCCUGCUGCCGACCAAACCCUAAACCCCAAACCCCCUGUGCCACAUAUAGCGCCAUGCAGUAGUCACCCGCAGUAGUACAGCAGUAGCAACCCGGUACAGCAGUAGCAACCCGGUACAGCAGCACUGCAGCAGUAGCCUGCCCGGUAGCAGUCGCAACCCGGUACAGCUUCCGCGCACACUCGUGCACUCGUGCAUCCCACCACCAUGACCACUACCACCACUACAGCACACAGCAGCUCGGCCCCUCCGCCAGCCCCUCCCCCGAUCCCUUCCAGUCUUCACCCCGCAAGCCUAUGCUGCUGGCACCCAGGGGCCACGCCUACCUUGCAGCUACGCCAUCCCCUCAUCCCCCCCCCACACAGACCCACUUCACAUCGAACCCCCCUGUCUACCCUGGUACCCCCCUCCUUCACCUCCACCUCCAUGCCCCUCUCCACCGUCACCUCCACCUCCGCCUCCACAUCUCCACUUCCACAUCUUCAUUUCCACAUCUCCAUUUCCACAUCUCCAUUUCCACAUCUCCGCCUCCACAACUCCAUUUCCACACCUCCACUUCCACACCUCCAUCCUGCCAGCGACCUCUUCACACCUACUUGGCUCCCUUCCGCGCCUUGAGCCUCACCACCUCGUCCACGUAGGUCAGCCCGUUGCCCGUGUAGGCGUUGGGGGGGCGGAUGGAGCGGACCUGCAGUGCAGGGGCGGCAGGGGGGGGGCAGGGGAGGGUGAGAGGGUUGCAGGGGCGGGAGGAGAGGGGGGGAGGGGCGGGGGCGCGAGGAGGAAGGCAGGCCUGGCUGUGUUCCAGGUGAGUCUCUUGGGGUUCGCGUUAUCACAACGCAUCGCAGCCUUCGCUUGGUAGUCUGCGGCCAGCCUACGCCAGCCCAGCCUCUGACAGCCGUGUACACCAGCUGAGAGUCACAAGCUUUAGGACGCCGGAGUGGCGCAGCUUGGCGCGCGAUUAUCUCGUCAAAGGUAACGUAGCAGUUGCGGUCGCUGCUCAUGCUCACGCUUUUCUUUUUUGCUUGUGCUAGCUCACUGGCCUCGGCUCUACAACGUCAUGUUCUCUUGUGCGUGUUGCGUUCUUUCAAGCACGUCAAUAUCAGGCGUGGGUGAUGGGGGCUUGCAAGUAGGUGGGGCGGGGCUUGGGUCGGGUGAUAGGCUCAGCAGACACGGCCAUCUGUCACCGCAGGCAGGUGCACGCAGUUGACCUCCCGAGACCUCCUCUCCUCUUUGGGUUGGUCUGGUUAAGCUUGG